AAUUAAAGCACAACCGUCUUUCUAUUGCUUUUGUCUUUACAAGUGUGUCCCUGAUGCCAUGUUGUCCAAGAUCAACAUUUUGUAGCUUCCUUAUAUAUGGCUUGCUCUCUUUCCACCAUCAUGAAACUUAAUUUGAUUUAUAUUCUGCAGGAGCUUAUUCUUAUUCUCCAUUGCUUCUAAUUUAAGUUCUGUUCUGCCUUGCUGGCCUUGAAUUUAUAUUUUCAAAUAAAAAUUUUGUGCUAAGAUUCUUUGCAUUACCUCAUUCAGGUCAUGGGAUCCAAGAAAUUAUGCAUUCAUGUUGUAGAAUCUGAAAUAGAUUGGUGAGGUUUCGCCUCACACUUGAGAACCUAUAUUAAAUACAUGAAUCCUCUUCUCUCCCUGGUUCAGAUCAAAUGUGGAGAUCAUUCGUUUUCCGCUAUGACUACUAUUUUCACCUCACAAAUGGUCUUUCCUUUUGUUGAUGUCUCGCCUCCUGUGUACUGAUAGAGGCAUAGAAAUAUGCAUGUCUUGGAUGAGAGAAAUAUGAUUGUCCAUGUAUUUUGUAUCUUGCACUUACCUCUUGCGAUUAGUUUCCCUAAAUAUAAAAGAUACGGUUUUCAGUCAUAUUGGUUUUUCGUCCUUUUUGGUAAAAGAUUCAAAGUGUGUGUAUAAUCAUUUAUAGUAGAUAGGAUAGUGCAUUCACUGAAAAUUUGUGAAAGCGUAAGUUAUCUUACUCAGGCUUGUGCUUUUGGAUUGCAGUUCAAAUUUCACCUCGGGUUGUAACAGAGAAGACCAUUGUCGAGACAUAUUUAGAGGUGGUGAAGUUGUGGGGCUUAUUUUGCUUUUUUGAUUACAUGACUAAAAUAGUGUGUAGUUUUUUUGGAAUAGCUAAUGAGUUCUCACUUUAAUUGUUCCCUGGAACACCAUUUUUAUUGGACUCAUCGGUUGGUCCACAAUGAUAGUCAAUUGUUUUAUGAUUUCCCAUUGUAGUAGGUAGAUGUUAUGUUUUUUUUCUUAUAGUUUCCCCUUCGAUUCUCAAUCUGGUCGCUGUUGAGGGUUAUGUACCUAUAUGUAUAUGUCGGGAUUCAGAUACAUGUGCUUGAUUAAUUCAUUUAUUUAUUUCCUUGGUCCUUUUGGUGUUGCCAUUGAAUUAAGGAGUAGUAAGACACAAGACGGUGCUUAAUUCUACCCUUAAAACCACAUUGUAAAUAUCUAUCGCCUGCUGGCCUACUACUGUAAAUGGUUUGUACAGUUUGUUUUCCAAUGGAUUUAGUUACAUGAUGUUGGAUUAGAUGGCUGCCAUUAUGCAGCUCAUUUUCAGUGCCUCAGGUGAUGUUCUAUAUAAAAUGGCGUAAAAUGUGAAAUUGGGAAAUACUUUUGAUAUACUUUUGUAACACGGUGUUAAUCCAUUUUUGGUUUGUACAUAGUUCUAUUGGUUCGUCUCUAAUUGUCCUGGCAGUAUAAGAGUUCUGGUUUUCCAGAGGCUAGAACUUUGAUGGAUAGUUCUUAGUGUGAUUCUAUGGAUACAGAGCCCAGGUAAAUCACUUCUCAUUGCCUGUUUUGUCGGUAUCGAUCGUCUAUUAUCUGUACAAGAUUUGAUCGAAUGGUUCUGAUGCCACAAAGUGACCGUGCUUUGUUAGUACGUAUGUGAAUACUUAUGCUUUAUUCAAGACACAUUCAGUUUCUUUUUCCUUUGCAAAUAAACUGUAGAUGUAGCGUUGGCCUGAGCCCCUAAAUUGUCGUAUGCUAUUUCCUGCCUGGAUGAUGAUGUUGAAGGAAUUUCUGCUGUGAACAAUGAAAACAUUCAACCACAACCACUAUGAACAAUUGCCUGAACAAGUUUUCAGCGCCGAUGAUCCACCAAUCACACUGACGAAAGUUCAUCACUUCAAAACGCCUAUGAGAUCUAUAUCUCCCUAUCUACCUUCCUUUCUAAUAGCAUUGUAAAUAUUCUAUCGUAAGCUUCUUAGAACACUAUGUGUCAUGAAUAAUCCAUGUGUUCCAAUCUGCACCUAAAUAUAUUUAUGUUCGCUCUUUCAGUACUUGCCUUACUCUCGCCCCUUGCGCCAUCGGCGCAACGGGUCAUCUAGUUUAAAAGAAACCACAAUGUCUUCGGAACUACAAGCCACGCACAGCAGUCUUACUACUAAUAUAAAACAUUCGACAACACUAUUGUGAGGGUAGAAGCCAUCCCUCCCUCCCUCCCUCCCAGCAGUUCAAAUCAAACAGCCUACACCUAACAUAGACGCCAGGGCAAACCCGAAAACCCAAACUCUGGUAUUAUUAUUACAGGCCCAAAAGAUAAAGCGAGAGGAGAAGAGAGACCUUCAGAAACAUCUUCAUCAUGUUUGGCUUCAAGGAGCAGUCAGUCUUGGCACUCCCGUUCUCCAACCAUGUGCAGCUUUGAAAAAUCUCCCGCGACACCCGCUCAACCUGCCUUACGCCCGCCGUCAUGCACCUUAUUUUUCUUUUGUUUUUCUACAGCACACACCAAUCAUGUAAGUUUCUAAUAAUUAAAAAAACUUACAGUGUUGCCGAGGUCGCUUUUAAUAUUCACAAUUUUGCUACUAGUCCAGAUUUUAGGCACGCGGUGGCUUUCGAGUACAAACAGUGUUGCCGUCAAGCCCUCUUGGUUCAUAGCUUGACAGGUUGUGAAUAUUAUAUCAUAGGAACAUAAAACUUGUAAGAGUUGAGAUGUCAUGUAUCUCAAAUUCUAUAAAUAUGAAUAGAAAGAGAGAUGUUCUUUGGUUCACAUCAUAUAAUUGUUUUCACUGAAUCUAGGUUAAUAUUUAUUUUUCUAUGAAAUAUAGAAGAUAGAUCCUCCCAUAGGAAUAGGAUUCUAUUCCUACAAACCAAACGACUCUAGAAGAUUUUUUUUCUAUAGAAAUCCUAUCUACAAAAUUUCUCCAAACCAAAUGAGGCAUGUAUGUUUUCAUUUGCUACUUGUUGUAUUGUAUGCAUUUCACUUCCCCGCUUAGUGGAAACGGAUUUGAUAAAUCUCAUCUAGAUGAGAUUUAACUAUGUCACAUCUAAGUCCACCGCUGUAGGAUCAAACUUAUUGUAAGAUUGGUGCAACAUCGCUCGUUUAUUUUUCUGAGUUGUCGCUCAUGCUGUUAUCCACUGCUUUCAUUUCUCGAUCUUGUGUGUUACGUUGUUUUUCUUGGGCCAGACCCAAUAACAAUUUUGUUUUUGCAUUUUUGUCUGUGCAUUUUUGUUGGCUGGGUUGCCUGUGUGUUUUUCAUUCUCUCAAUGUUUUCUUUUUUGUUUUGAUUUUCUAUACACAAAAGUUUAAAUAGAAUGAAUCCAGUGAUUAAAUUUUGUCAGAAUAGUAUGGGUAUUUUCUUGUUUAUUUAUUCCAGUGGAGUGAAUGCGCAUGUUUUUUUUUGUUCUUCUCCUUUUCAUUUUUGACGUUUCCAUUUUAGAUUCAUGAUAUUUUUAAUACAUGAACACUUUUUGAAGUGUGCAAAACACUUAUUAAAAUUCAUGAUUUUUAAUUUGAGCACUUAUUUGAAUUUUUGAAAAAAUAAUUAAAAAAUAAUGAACAUUUAAAAAAGUAUUUUAAUACAUCUCAAAUCGGAUUUGCUAAAUCUUAUUUAGAUGAGAUUCUAACAAUGUCUUAUCUAAGUUGUGGUUCGUCCGAUCUAUUUGUUGUAAUCUUUGUGCAAACUUGACCCCGCUUCAUUUUUGCCGCAUACGCCACGCGUGGUCAUGUUGGCUAGUUUGUCGGCAUGUUUCUAUUAGGCCCUUUUUUUUGUUCAACGUCUAUUGUGUUUUUUCUGGCCAUUUUCAUUAGUUUUUUUGUCGUUUGAAUUGGUCUGCUUUAUAGAAGGAGAAAAGACAAGGUUCACUACCUCUUUUAUCACCCUUCAUUCUGCUACUGCUUUGCCUCUCCUCAUUCAUCCUCUCUUUAUUUUACAUUUGUCUUCCACUAUAUGCGACACCCUUCUUUGUGUGACCCUCUUUUCUAGCCCCCGUUGUGACUCCAUCCUCAAUUUACAACUGGGAUCAAUCCUUUUUUUUGCCUCAGUUGCAAGUCCACUAUUAACUUGCAGCAGGGCCCAGCCUUUUUUUAUCCAGUUGCAAGUCUAUCCUCGACUCACAACUAGGCUCGGUGUUUCUUUUGUAUCAUAAUUUGGCCCGAGACAUUUUCUUUGCAUUAGUUGCAAGUUGAGGUGGACUUACAACUAGGACUGACUCUUUUUCCGCCAUAGUUGCAAGUCCACCAUCGAGUCGCAACCAGGGCUCACUUUGUUUUCCUAGUUUUAAGUCAACCAUGGACUCACAACUAUGCUUGCUCCUUUUUUAUCCAAGUUGCAAAUUGAUUAUCGACUCACAAUUGGGAUCCUGAUCCUUUUUCCGCCCUAGUUGCAAGUUCACCCUGUCGGUGCUAAAAUCGGCAGGUCUGAGGGUAGGGGGUGCUAACCUGGUGAUCUGGGCACAAUGGUAACAAGAAGUAAAAGGGACACAAUUUUACCCAGGUCCGGGCCCUCUCAAAGAGGUAAAACCACACGUCCUACUUAUACUUCCUCGCUGCUUGCUAUUCAUUACAUCAACAACUAUUGUUCUCUUGAAUGGUCAACCUUCCUACCACAAACAUGAUACGAAAAUGAUGUUUUUGCAAAUGGAUUGAGUGUAGUAAUAUUUUACUAAAUUCUAAAAUGAAUUAUGAGGAUAAACACAGUGAUAAAUAUGCAAGGCGAGUAAAGUAAUUUUUACUAUGUCCCCAGCGCAUAUGUAAACCUCAUUAUCAGCGUCAAGGCUGUAGUAUUUCUUGCAACGGGUUGCAAAAGUAUGUAGCCGAACUUGUAUCCUUAUGAUGAAGUUUUAGUCACAACUAGAUGACCCGUUGCGCUCUUGGCGCAAAGGCCAACUACAACCAGAAAGUUAAGCAAGUUAUGGAAAGCACAUAAUAAAUAAUAAAUAUUUACUUUAUGAAUUAUCCCCAAAGGACGUUAACACCAAUAAGAAUACAUACGGGAACACCAAGAAGUAACGGAGAAACUAACAAACAGAGGCAACUACCCCUGAAUCAUGACAAGUGCUUGUUCAUAGUGGUCACACUUAAACAUGGCCACGUUGAAGGAAAGGUCAGGUGUGAAUGUUUGUUCGGGUGGCCAGGGAGAGCAGUGCAGAGCAACAACGCGAUAAACGUCGACAUCGCUCCAUCGAGGAGCGUCCCUUCACGCCGAGUUCGCUACACAUAUGGACCCGAUACAAUCGUGAAAUAGGCUAGGUCUGAGCCUUCUCAACUGCAAGUCUUUAUUUUGAAGGAAAUAUGCCCUAGAGGCAAUAAUAAAGUUAUUAUUUAUUUCCUCAUAUCAUGAAAAAUGUUUAUUAUUCAUACUAGAAUUGUAUUAACCGGAAACAUAAUACAUGUGUGAAUAUAUAGACAAACAUAGUGUCACUAGUAUGCUUCUACUUGACUAGCUCAUUGAUCAAAGAUGGUUGAGUUUCCUAACCAUAGAUAUGAGUUAUCAUUUGAUCAAUGGGAUCACAUCAUUAGAAGAAUGAUGUGAUUGACUUGACCCAUUCCGUUAGCUUAGCACUUGAUCGUUUAGUAUGUUGCUAUUGCUUUCUUCAUGACUUAUGCAUGUUCCUAUGACUAUGAGAUUAUGUAACUCCCGCUUACCAGAGGAACACUUUGUGCACUACCAAACGUCACAACGUAACUGGGUGAUUAUAAAGGUGCUCUACAGGUGUCUCCAAAGGUACUUGUUGAGUUGACGCAUUUCGAGAUUAGGAUUUGUCACUCCGAUUGUCGGAGAGGUAUCUCUGGGCCCUCUCGGUAAUGCACAUCACUAUAAGCCUUGCAAGCAAUGUAGCUAAUGAGUUAGUUGCGGGAUGAUGCAUUAUGUAACGAGUAAAGAGACUUGCCGGUAACGAGAUUGAACUAGGUAUUGAGAUACCGAUGAUCGAAUCUCAGGCAAGUAACAUACCGAUGACAAAUGGAACAACGUAUGUAGUUAUGCGUUUGACCGAUAAAGAUCUUCGUAGAAUAUGUGGGAACCAAUAUGAGCAUCCAGGUUCCACUAUUGGUUAUUGACCAGAGACGUGUCUCGGUCAUAUCUACAUAGUUCUCGAACCUGUAGGGUCUGCACGCUUAAAGUUUGGAGACGAUCGGUAUUAUGAGUUUUUGUGUUUUGAUGUACCGAAGGUAGUUCGGAGUCCCGGAUAUGAUCACGGACAUGACAAGGAGUCUCGAAAUGGUCGAGACAUAAAGAUUGAUAUAUUGGAUGACUAUGUUCGGACACCGGAAGUGUUUCGGGAGGUUUCAGACAUUUACCGGAAUACCGGGGGGUUACCGGACCCCCCCGGGGAGUAUAUUGGGCCUAAUGGGCAUUGGUGGGAGAAGAGGAGGGGCGGCCAGGGCAGCUGCGCCCCCCUCCCCGUCUAGUCCAAAUUGGACAAGGAGGGGGGCAGCGCCCCCCUUCUUUCCUUCUCCUCCUCUCCCCCUUCCUUCCCUUCUCCUACUCCAACAAGGAAAGGUGGAGUCCUACUCCCGGUGGGAGUAGGACUCCCCCUUGGCGUGCCCUCCUCCUGGCCGGUCGCCUUCCCCCCUUGCUCCUUUAUAUACGGGGGCAGGGGGCACCUCUAGACACACAAGUUCAUCUGUUGAUCUCUCCCAGCCGUGUGCGGUGCCCCCCUCCACCAUAUUCCACCUCGGUAAUAUUGUAGCGGUGCUUAGGCGAAGCCCUGCGUCAGUAGCAUCAUCAACACCGACAUCACGCCGUCGUGCUGACGGUACUCUCCCACAAAGCUCUUCUGGAUCGGAGUUCGUGGGGCGUCAUCGAGUUGAACGUGUGCUGAACUCGGAGGUGCCGUAUGUUCGGUACUUGGAUCGGUCGGAUCGUGAAGACGUACGACUACAUCAACCGCGUUGUGCUAACGCUUCCGCUUACGGUCUACGAGGGUACAUGGACGACACUCUCCCCUCUCAUUGCUAUGCAUCACCAUGAUCUUGCGUGUGCGUAGGAAAAUUUUGAAAUUACUACGUUCCCCAACAGUUGCAUCCGAGCUAGGUUUAUGCGUAGAUGUUAUAUUGAAGGAAAUAUGCCCUAGAGGCAAUAAUAAAGUUAUUAUUUAUUUCCUCAUAUCAUGAUAAAUGUUUAUUAUUCAUGCUAGAAUUGUAUUAACCGGAAACAUGAUACAUGUGUGAAUAUAUAGACAAACAUAAUGUCACUAGUAUGCCUCUACUUGACUAGCUCAUUAAUUAAAGAUGGUUAUGUUUCCUAACCAUAGACAUGUGUUGUCAUUUGAUUAAUGGGAUCACAUCAUUAGGAGAAUGAUGUGAUUGACAUGACCCAUCCCAUUAGCCUAGCACUUGAUCGUUUAGUAUGUUGCUAUUGCCUUCUUCACGACUUAUACAUGUUCCUGUAACUAUGAGAUUAUGCAACUCCCGAUUACCGGAGGAACACUUUGUGUGCUACCAAACGUCACAACGUAACUGGGUGAUUAUAAAGGAGCUCUACAGGUGUCUCCGAAGGUACAUGUUGGGUUGGCGUAUUUCGAGAUUAGGAUUUGUCACUCCGAUUGUCGGAGAGGUAUCUCUGGGCCCUCUCGGUAAUGCACAUCACUAUAAGCCUUGCAAGCAAUGUAGCUAAUGAGUUAGUUACAGAAUGAUGCAUUACGUAAUGAGUAAAGAGACUUUCCGGUAACGAGAUUGAACUAGGUAUUGGAUACUGACGAUCGAAUCUCGGGCAAGUAACAUACCGAUGACAAAGGGAACAACGUAUGUUGUUAUGCGGUUUGACCGAUAAAGAUCUUUGUAGAAUAUGUAGGAGCCAAUAAGAGCAUCCAGGUUCCGCUAUUGGUUAUUGACCGAGAAUAGUUCUAGGUCAUGUCUACAUAGUUCUCAAACCCGUAGGGUCUGCACGCUUAAAGUUUGGAGACGAUCGGUAUUAUGAGUUUUUGUGUUUUGAUGUACCGAAGGUAGUUCGGAGUCCCGGAUAUGAUCACGGACAUGACAAGGAGUCUCUAAAUGGUCGAGACGUAAAGAUUGAUAUAUUGGAUGACUAUGUUCGGACACCGGAAGUGUUUCGGGAGGUUUCAGACAUUUACCGGAAUACCGGGGGGUUACCGGACCCCCCCGGGGAGUAUAUUGGGCCUAAUGGGCAUUGGUGGGAGAAGAGGAGGGGCGGCCAGGGCAGCUGCGCCCCCCUCCCCGUCUAGUCCAAAUUGGACAAGGAGGGGGGCAGCGCCCCCCUUCUUUCCUUCUCCUCCUCUCCCCCUUCCUUCCCUUCUCCUACUCCAACAAGGAAAGGUGGAGUCCUACUCCCGGUGGGAGUAGGACUCCCCCUUGGCGCGCCCUCCUCCUGGCCGGUCGCCUUCCCCCCUUGCUCCUUUAUAUACGGGGGCAGGGGGCACCUCUAGACACACAAGUUCAUCUGUUGAUCUCUCCCAGCCGUGUGCGGUGCCCCCCUCCACCAUAUUCCACCUCGGUAAUAUUGUAGUGGUGCUUAGGCGAAGCCCUGCGUCAGUAGCAUCAUCAACACCGACAUCACGCCGUCGUGCUGACAGAACUCUCCUACAAAGCUCUUCUGGAUCGGAGUUCGUGGGGCGUCAUCGAGUUGAACGUGUGCUGAACUCGGAGGUGCCGUACGUUCGGUACUUGGAUCGGUCGGAUCAUGAAGACGUAUGACUACAUCAACCGCGUUGUGCUAACGCUUCCGCUUACGGUCUACGAGGGUACAUGGACGGCACUCUCCCCUCUCGUUGCUAUGCAUCACCAUGAUCUUGCGUGUGCGUAGGAAAAUUUUGAAAUUACUAUGUUCCCCAACAGUUGCAUCCGAGCUAGGUUUAUGCGUAGAUGUUAUAUUGAAGGAAAUAUGCCCUAGAGGCAAUAAUAAAGUUAUUAUUUAUUUCCUCAUAUCAUGAUAAAUGUUUAUUAUUCAUGCUAGAAUUGUAUUAACCGGAAACAUGAUACAUGUGUGAAUAUAUAGACAAACAUAACGUCACUAGUAUGCCUCUACUUGACUAGCUCAUUUAUCAAAGAUGGUUAUGUUUCCUAACCAUAGACAUGUGUUGUCAUUUGAUUAACGGGAUCACAUCAUUAGGAGAAUGAUGUGAUUGACAUGACCCAUCCCAUUAGCCUAGCACUUGAUCGUUUAGUAUGUUGCUAUUGCCUUCUUCACGACUUAUACAUGUUCCUGUAACUAUGAGAUUAUGCAACUCCCGAUUACCGGAGGAACACUUUGUGUGCUACCAAACGUCACAACGUAACUGGGUGAUUAUAAAGGAGCUCUACAGGUGUCUCCGAAGGUACAUGUUGGGUUGGCGUAUUUCGAGAUUAGGAUUUGUCACUCCGAUUGUCGGAGAGGUAUCUCUGGGCCCUCUCGGUAAUGCACAUCACUAUAAGCCUUGCAAGCAAUGUAGCUAAUGAGUUAGUUACAGAAUGAUGCAUUACAUAAUGAGUAAAGAGACUUGCCGGUAACGAGAUUGAACUAGGUAUUGGAUACCGACGAUCGAAUCUCGGGCAAGUAACAUACCGAUGACAAAGGGAACAACGUAUGUUGUUAUGCGGUUUGACCGAUAAAGAUCUUCGUAGAAUAUGUAGGAGCCAAUAAGAGCAUCCAGGUUCCCCUAUUGGUUAUUGACCGAGAAUAGUUCUAGGUCAUGUCUACAUAGUUCUCAAACCCGUAGGGUCCGCACGCUUAAUGUUACGAUGACAGUUUUAUUAUGAGUUUAAAAGUUUUGAUGUACCGAAGGUUGUUCGGAGUCCCGGAUGUGAUCACGGACAUGACGAGGAGUCUCGAAAUGGUCGAGACAUAAAGAUUGAUAUAUUGGAAGCCUAUAUUUGGAUAUCGGAAUGGUUCCGGGUGAAAUCGGGAUUUUACCGGAGCACCGGGGGGUUACCGGAACCCUCCCGGGGGUUAUUGGGCCUUCAUGGGCCCUAAGGGAGAAGAGGAGAGAAGGCAAGAGGUGGGCUGCGCCCCCUCCCCUCCCUAGUCCGAAUAGGACAAGGAGAGGGGGCAGCGCCCCCCUUUCCUUCCCCUCUUCCUCCUCCUUCCCCCUUCUCCUUCUCCAACUAGGAAAGAAGGGAGUCCGACUCCCGGUGGGAGUAGGACUCCCCCUUGGCGCGCCCUCCUUGGCCGGACGCCCCCUCCCCCUUGGCUCCUUUAUAUACGGGGGCAGGGGGGCACCUCUAGACACACAAGUUGAUCUUCGUGAUCGUUCCUUAGCCGUGUGCGGUGCCCCCCUCCACCAUAUUCCACCUCGGUCAUAUCAUUGCGGUGCUUAGGCGAAGCCCUGCGUCGGUAGAACAUCAUCACCGUCACCACGCCGUCGUGCUGACGGAACUCAUCCCCGACACCCUGCUGGAUCGGAGUCCGGGGAUCGUCAUCGAGCUGAACGUGUGGUGAACUCGGAGGUACCGUACGUUCGGUGCUUGGAUCGGUCGGAUCGUGAAGACGUACGACUACAUCAAUUGCGUUGUCAUAACGCUUUCGCUUACGGUCUACGAGGGUACGUGGACAACACUCUCCCCUCUCGUUGCUAUGCAUCACCAUGAUCUUGCGUGUGCGUAGGAAAUUUUUUGAAAUUACUACAUUCCCCAACAUAUAUGCACGAGUAGAGCACAAGUGAGUUGUGGGCGAUACAAGUCAUACUGCUUACCAGCAUGUCAUACUUUGGUUCGGCGGUAUUGUUGGAUGAAGCGGCCCAGACCGACAUUACACGUACGCCUAUGCGAGAUUGGUUCUACCGAUGUGCUUUGCACACAGGUGGCUGGCGGGUGUCAGUUUCUCCAACUUUAGUUGAACCGAGUGUGGCUACGUCCGGUCCUUGAGAAGGUUAAACAUCACUAACUUGACGAAAUAUCAUUGUGGUUUUGAUGGUAGGUAAGAACGGUUCUUGCUCAGCCCGUAGCAGCCACAUAAAACUUGCAAUAACAAAGUAGAGGACGUCUAACUUGUUUUUGCAGGGCAUGUUGUGAUGUGAUAUGGUCAAGACAUGAUGCUAAAUUUUAUUGUAUGAGAUGUUCAUGUUUUGUAACAGAGUUAUCGGCAACUGGCAAGAGCCAUAUGGUUGUCGCUUUAUUGUAUGCAAUGCAAUCACCCUGUAAUUUGUUUACUUUAUCUCUAAGCGGUAGCGAUAGUCGUAGAAGCAAUAGUUGGCGAGACGACAAUGAUGCUACGAUGGAGAUCAAGGUGUCGUGCCAGUGACGAUGGUGAUCAUGACGGUGCUUCGGAGAUGGAGAUCACAAGCACAAGAUGAUGAUGGCCAUAUGAUAUCACUUAUAUUGAUUGCAUGUGAUGUUUAUACUUUAUGCAUCUUAUUUUGCUUUGAUUGACGGCAGCUGUCGGUGUCAAAACCGGCGGAUCUCGGGUAGGGGGUCCCAAGCAGUGCGUCUUAGGAUCAAUGGUAACAAGAGACGAGGGACACGAUGUUCUACCCAGGUUCGGGCCCUCUCGAUGGAGGUAAAACCCUACCUCCUGCUUGAUUAAUAUUGAUGAUAUGGGCAGUACAAGAGUUGAUCUACCACGAGAUCAGAGAGGCUAAACCCUAUAAGCUAGCCUAUGGUAUGAUUGUUGUAUAUGUCUAUCGACUAGCCUGGCCCCGGUUUAUAUAAUGCACCAGAGGCCUAGGAUAACAAGAGUCCUAGCCGAAUACGCCAGUGGGGGAGGAGUCCUUGUCUUGAUCGCCAAGUCUUGUGGAUUCUUCCUUGUAUGCGGCAGUUGUCCGGACUGGCCCAUGAGUAUACGGCCAUGGGGAUCCUCGGCCCAAUCCACCUGAUCGGGAGACGACGUGGUGAGUACCCCCUAGUCCAGGACACCGUCAGUAGCCCCCUGAACCGGUCUUCAAGUUGGGGACGCUCCUCGAUUCUUCCGAACUGUUCUUCAUCUUCGGUCGUCGGUCUUGAAAACUGGUUCAACAAAUCUUCUCAUCUUCGAUCUUGAGGAUCACCGAAAUGCAUUCGACAAGUUUAUACGUCGGGUAUCCGAGGAGCCCCUUUAAGUUUCCGGCCUUUAUUAAUGCCUUGUUAUUUUUAUGCCAUGCCUCGGGUUUGAAGUUAUUCCCAGGAGGCAGUGUCCUCUUGCGUCCGAGCUCUAACGCCGGACUGCAUUCGAGGUAUCUUUUGUAGCCGAGCACCAACGCCAGACUGCUUCCCAGCUCUAUCGCCAGACUAUGUAUCCGAGCUCCAACGCCGGACGGUAUCUGAGUUCCAACGCCGGACUAUGUAUCCGAGAUCCAACGCCGGACUGUAUCCGAGGUGUCGUAAAUCACCUUGGUUCAAAGAAGUUUGAAGGAGUUUAGCCAAGCUUAAUGCCGGAAAUGCCCUCUAUGGAGCCAGCCACUAGCGUCCGAGCUUUAUGCCGGACUGCUUCCAAGGUGGUGCACCACCCCGAAUGUGGGCCGAUUUUUGUCAAUAUUUUUUGACUGGUGCAAUUUAUUCUCUGCCGAGAUACAUAGCCAGUAGCCCUCAAGGUGGGUAUCGGUCUAAAACCCGAGAUGCCCAUGAAGGAUGACAUAAGACCGCUGAUCCCCGUAGCUGCUGAGACUCAAGUUGAUUUGCAAAAUCGGUCUGAGGAUCAAGACCUAGCUCGGCAGAAUACUUGGGACACAAAAAGCGGCGUGCUCAGUCCUCAAGACUCAGGUUGGGUGCGGCCGACCAACCUGAGGAUCAAAAUCUCCUCGGAAACUGUAUUGCACUUAAAAUUUUCUGCAUAGAACAGGCAAUGCAGUAGCCCCCGAGACACUGGUCGGGUGGCAACACUAGAUCAGGGGAUUGAUGUGCCCCUUUAAUAUUUGUAAACAAUAAGCCCGAAGCCCAGUAGCCCCCGAGCCUUAAUGCGGGCACGGGAGGCCGAAUUAAGGAUCGAUAUCCAUAGUAAAAUCACAAAUUAUGUGUAAUGACUCUAUGUAUCCAAGUACUUUACGUCAUUAAUGCUCGGAUCCGUAUUGUAUAAAACUUUGUUGACCGACCAUCAGCUUCCACCUCCUCGGCCAAUAGCCGAGGAGUGUUUGUCCUACUUUAUAAAGCCUUUAUGAGGGAAAAGAUUGACAACAAACAAGGCAAUCUGGCCAUACGGUUUUAUAAACAAAGGUACGCAGAGAGAUAUGUUAUAUUACUGUUUAACAGAAGAAAUGUCUUCCAAAGAAAAUAGUCCCCCUAUCGGUUCCUUUCUUUGGGUUGUCAUGCUAAGCAUGAUCAUGAAACCUCAGCUCCAAUGUAAGAGCAAAAUAUCGAGGAUUUAGUUUGGGAGGCCAGUUAAUAGCCCCCGGUAGUGUUCGACGACAGUCGAGGUCAAGCCGGAAACACUUCGGCCAAUGUUAUGAAUGGCCCGUCAUUUAAUAUAGUCAUCGGAGCGCUGACCAGUUUACACCUAUUGUGUCAGUUAGUUUUCGGCUUUCUCCACUGAGGUGCUUGACCAUGCGAGCUGGAAGCACAAUCGCAGUGGUUCUCCCUUUGCACACCUAGCCGAACAAAGUGGAACGUAGGAGACAAGCGCGGGAGCCGGGCAACCCAACUAUCGACCGAAGACACAAUUCGAAACUGAUGCAUAUAUAGCAAUAUCCGAGAAUGUUUUUGCCGAAUCUCUAAAGGUGUCCGGCGUUGCACUGCGAGACUUGUGCUGAAAACACACAAAUAGUUUAAAAGUGCCAAAAGCUUAGAAAACCAAAAAACGUCAGUAAAAACAUGACGUCCGAACAAGAUCAAGUGUUCGGUGCCAAUCCGAAAAUUGGACUUUAGAAAAAAAGUGCUUCUGCCGUGCUUUGACAUGACACAUCCUAUCUCAAGACUUCAAGCGGGUCAGCCUAUGGCUUCAGUCUCCCAUCCCGAAGGCGGAGUACUUCUCAUUAGGCCAGUUUAGAAAACUAAACUCUAGCGGUUUUGAGAGAGAAAUUAGGCUCCCGGCUAGUGACCGCACACUCGUGUCGAGAAAAGGAGUGAUAAAUAAUAAAAACUCUGCAACGACUAAGAAGAAAAACACUCAUCAUAAAACGGCUCAUAUAAAUUUAAGAGCCCCCAAGUGACUUGGGUAAAAGAAUGAUUGCAUGUACCGAAGUACUUAUAUCAUAUCUAUGUUCAACCGAACUUUAUACGCGUCUUAACCGACCGUCAGCUUCUCCCUCUUCGGUCAAGGACCGAAAAGUGUUAUGUACUCCAUCUGUCGAGAAUAUCGACGGUGUUUCCAAUAACCAGGCAAUCAGGCCAUAAGGCUGUAACAGACAAAGCGCGCUCAGGGAACUUAUGCUAUAUUACUACGAAGAGUAAGAAGCAUCCUCGAAGAAAAUAGUACCCCCACCGAUACCUUUCUUCGGUGCUCAUUGUUUAUUAUGAGACUUGUGCAAUAGAUUUUUUGUACUCAUGAGUUCCGUUGUGUGCCGACCAUGAUUGAAAACAAUAAGAGCGCUAGAUUUCGGCUUCACCCAGUCUGAGGUCCGGCUCGGUUGACCCAAUCAUGACAAUCGCAGAGGUGCUCCCUUUACUCCCUAGCCAAACAAUCGGAAAUGUAGGGGUAAGCACAGGAGCCAGGCAACCUAGCUUGCAAAUCGCUUAAGUCAAUAUGGUGCAUAUUGUGGCGUAAUACACGAACAAGGAACGAAGCCGUACAAGUAUAACCAUAUGCAAGAGGAAAAAGCUUCAUGAAGGAAGCCCCCAAGUAAACGGGGUAUUUGAAUUUGAGCGUCACAAACAAAGUUUGGACAAGGAAAUUUUUACAAGCAAUUUUUUUCCAAAAAAGUAUAAUGCUUGGCUGAGCCAAACACAAGUUAAAAAUUUAAAACUUUGAGCAUGAAGACAACUUAGCUGGUUAAUGUGUUCGGUAUUGAUGACGCGGUCCGAGCUAGAUGCGGGACAAGGUUCCAUCCCCGAGCCGGUCCCGAGGUGGCGGAGCAAAGAGCUCGGCACUCCGAAGUGGUGACAUAGCACGGUCAAUGCAGGACGGCAAGGUGAUGCCGAAGUCCCCGGCAUGGGGUAAUGAAGUGUUGACGAAGCCCCCGGAGAUAAUAGUAAUAAAAAAAAAUUCGUUGCAUAACAAAUAAUUUAUGCAAAGUGAGUAAUAAAAGAAAUAUGGCCUGGCGCGCCGAAGUCAAUGUCGAUGCAGGGCGGCGGCGUGAUGCGGUAAAGGCAUGGCAAGGCCUGAAUUCACAGGUCGGUUCGAGUUCCGGAUGUGGCGUUCGCCGGACUAUGUACGGAAACUGACCGAACCAUCAUGCGACCAUCGUUAAUGCGGCCACCAUUUGAUAGACCUGCGUACAUAUGACGGACAAACCAGAGUAAUAAUUCAUUGGGAAAAAUGAACCCUAACAAGCAAAAAAAAAUACUAGGAUUAAUAGCACCUGGCUUAUUUGUUGUAGCAAUCCGAAGAAAGGUGAUUCCCAAAAUUGGGACUCGAUCCUCACACCUAUCGCCUGAUGGGCGAUAAAGCAACGGCAUGGCGAUGCAUGGCGAUCCUCGUUCCAGCUAACGUGACGGAGCUGGUCGGCCAGCGACGCUGAAGCCUUCGGAGUAGGUUGAUGAAGAGAUGAUGAAGCCCCCGGUCCAGCGAUGCAGGUCGUGACGUGUUCGAAGCCGGCUUGAUGAUGUGACCGUGUGGCGAUGCAGGUGUGCUGCUCCGUGUAAUCCGUGGGGCGGCGAUGUUGGUGACGAUUUAUCCUUCGCGAUGCCGAACUAUUGUUCGGCUGGCCGAGAUGAUGAUCCGGAGAAAUUGAGCUCGGCUCAACAAAGCCACGACGUGUCUAACACAGGUCGACCGCCGUGGAGUGAUGUUGUCGGGCUGGUUUGACACCGGUGCGACGGUGAAGUUCGUAUUGCAAGAAUACUUUUAAUACUACUGGGAUGUGUUUGAGAAUAAAACACAACACCCCAUACGAAAACUUCCUUCAAAAAGGAUGUCCGAGAUCCCGUUCAAAAAGAAGAUGAAUUCGGGUCGGAUUCGUUCUCGCGCAGAAAACAGAUCCAAAAAGUGAUGCACUAAUCGGAAGUUUCCCGGAGUUUGGACGGUCGGAUCGAGCUGAAUUUUUGGCAGGUGGUAGAUAUGGGAAUUCCGCAGCAAAUCAACGGUUGGAUCCUCCAAAGGACAUCCGAGCUAGAUGCUGGAUACCACGCCCUAGACUCGUCCAGAUUCAACAGGGCUCCGGUAUAUCGGAGAUUGCCGGAGAUUCCUCCAUCGGGACUCGACAAAAUUUUUGCAGGGUUGUUGUAGACUUAAUUCCUCAUAAUUCCACCGAAGUAAUCGUUUAAGCGACACUCGAGGAGGCGGUGGCGGUGGAUACAAGUUUCCUGUCCGAAAAAACAACACGGUCGCCUGAGGGCGAUGUUGACGUUGAGCCCCCGAGCUCCAUGGGUGACUCCUCCAUGAUCUUGAUAGAGAUCGGAGUCGGUGUUGAUGAAGGCCUUCAUCCGAACAUGACGAUCGGAGAUAGGGCGCAGUCCUCGGUCAAGCCAAGGUGACCAGUCGAGCUGGUGACGAAGAAGCCGACGUCGUAGUUGACCUGUAGUCGAGCCAUUGAUCCUUUCGCCGAUCACACAGCGGAACUCUCAAUGAAAGCACCAAUGUCGGUGUCAAAACCGGCGGAUCUCGGGUAGGGGGUCCCAAGCAGUGCGUCUUAGGAUCAAUGGUAACAAGAGACGAGGGACACGAUGUUUUACCCAGAUUCGGGCCCUCUCGAUGGAGGUAAAACCCUACGUCCUGCUUGAUUAAUAUUGAUGAUAUGGGUAGUACAAGAGUUGAUCUACCACGAGAUCAGAGAGGCUAAACCCUAUAAGCUAGCCUAUGGUAUGAUUGUUGUAUAUGUCUAUCGACUAGCCUGGCCCCGGUUUAUAUAAUGCACCAGAGGCCUAGGAUAACAAGAGUCCUAGCCGAAUACGCCGGUGGGGGAGGAGUUAUUGUCUUGAUCGCCAAGUCUUGUGGAUUCUUCCUUGUAUGCGGCAGCUGUCCGGACUGGCCCAUGAGUAUACGACCAUGGGGAUCCUCGUCCCAAUCCACCUGAUCGGGAGACGACGUGGUGAGUACCCCCUAGUCCAGGACACCGUCAGCGGCAUUAUAAGAUGAUCUCUCACUAAAUUUCAAGGUAAAAGUGUUCUCCCUGAAUAUGCACCGUUGCCAAAGUUCGUCGUGCCGAGACACCACGUGAUGAUCGGGUGUGAUAAGAUCUACGUUCAUCUACAACGGGUGCAAGCCAGUUUUGCACAUGCAAAAUACUCGGGUUAAACUUGGCGAGCGUAGCAUAUGCAGAUAUGGCCUCGGAACACUAAGACUGAAAGGUCGAGCGUGAAUCAUAUAGUAGAUAUGAUAAACAUAGUGAUGUUCACCAUUGGAAACUACUCCAUUUCAUGUGAUGAUCGAUUAUGGUUUAGUUGAUUUGGAUCACGUGAUCACUUAGAUGAUUAGAGAGAUGUCUAUCUAAGUGGGAGUUCUUAAGUAAUGUGAUUAAUUGAACUUGAAUUUAUCAUGAACUUAGUACCUGAUAAUAUUUUGCUUAUCUAUGUUGUUGUAGAUAGAUGGCCCAUGCUGUUGUUCCGUUGAAUUUUAAUGCGUUCCUUUAGAAAGCAAAGUUGAAAGAUGAUGGUAGCAAUUACACGGACUAGGUCCGUAACUUGAGGAUUAUCCUCAUUGCUGCACAGAAGAAUUACGUCCUGGAAGCACCGCUAGGUGCCAUGCCUGCUUCAGAUGCAACUGACGACAUUAAGAAUGUCUGGCAGAGCAAAGCUGAUGAAUACUCGAUAGUUUAGUGUGCCAUGCUUUAUGGCUUAGAACCGGGACUUCAACGAUGUUUUGAACGUCAUGGAGCAUAUGAGAUGUUCCAGGAGUUGAAGUUAAUAUUUCAAGCAAAUGCUCGAAUUGAGAGAUAUGAAGUCUCCAAUAAGUUCUAUAGCUACAAGAUGGAGGAGAAUAGUUCUGUCAGUGAACAUAUACUCAAAAUGUCUGGGUAUAAUAAUCACUUGAUUCAACUGGGAGUUAAUCUUCCUGAUGAUAGUGUCGAUGACAGAAUUCUUCAAUCACUGCCACCAAGCUACAAGAGCUUCGUGAUGAACUAUAAUAUGCAAGGGAUGAACAAGACAAUUCCCGAUCUCUUCGCAAUGCUAAAGGUUGUGGAGGUAGAAAUCAAGAAGGAGUAUCAAGUGUUGAUGGUCAACAAGACCACCAGUUUCAAGAAAAAGGGUAAAGGGAAGAAGAAGGGGAACUUCAAAAAGAACGGCAAACAAGUUGCUGCUCAAGAGAAGAAACCCAAGUCUAGACCUAAGCCUGAGACUGAGUGUUUCUACUGCAAGCAGACUGGUCACUGGAAGCGGAACUGCCCCAAGUAUUUGGCGGAUAAGAAGGAUGGCAAGGUGAACAAAGGUAUAUGUGAUAUACAUGUUAUUGAUGUGUACCUUACUAGAGCUCGCAGUAGCACCUGGGUAUUUGAUACUAGUUCUGUUGCUAAUAUUUGCAACUCGAAACAGGGACUACAGAUUAAGCGAAGACUGGCUAAGGACGAGGUGAUGAUGCACGUGGGAAAUGGUUCCAAAGUCGAUGUGACCGCCGUCGCACGCUACCUCUACAUCUACCUUCGGUUUAAUUUUAGACCUGAAUAAUUGUUAUUUGGUGCCAGCGUUGAGCAUGAACAUUAUAUCUGGAUCUUGUUUGAUGCGAGACGGUUAUUCAUUUAAAUCUGAGAAUAAUGGUUGUUCUAUUUAUAUGAGUAAUAUCUUUUAUGGUCAUGCACCCUUGAAGAGUGGUCUAUUUUUAUUGAAUCUCGAUAGUAGUGAUACACAUAUUCAUAAUGUUGAAGCCAAAAGAUGCAGAGUUGAUAAUGAUAAUGCAAUUUAUUUGUGGCACUGUCGUUUAGGUCAUAUUGGUGUAAAGCGCAUGAAGAAACUCCAUACUGAUGGACUUUUGGAAUCACUUGAUUAUGAAUCACUUGGUACUUGCGAACCAUGCCUUAUGGGCAAGAUGACUAAAACGCCGUUCUCCGGAACAAUGGAGCGAGCAACAGAUUUGUUGGAAAUCAUACAUACUGAUGUAUGUGGUUCGAUGAAUAUUGAGGCUUGCGGUUGGUAUCGUUAUUUUCUCACCUUCAUAGAUGAUUUGAGCAGAUAUGAGUAUAUCUACUUAAUGAAACAUAAGUCUGAAACAUUUGAAAAGUUCAAAGAAUUCCAGAGUGUAGUGGAAAAUCAUCGUAACAAGAAAAUAAUGUUUCUACGAUCUGAUCGUGGAGGAGAAUAUUUGAGUUACGAGUUUGGUCUACAUUUGAAACAAUGCGGAAUAGUUUCACAACUCACGCCACCUGGAACACCACAACGUAAUGGUGUGUCCGAACGUCGUAAUCAUACUAGGUAUGGUGCGAUCUAUGAUGUCUCUUACUGAUUUACCGCUAUCGUUUUGGGGUUAUGCUUUAGAGACGGCUACAUUCAUGUUAAAUAGGGCACCAUCAAAAUCCGUUGAGAUGAUGCCUUAUGAACUAUGGUUUGGCAAGAAACCAAAGUUGUCAUUUCUUAAAGUUUGGGACUGUGAUGCUUAUGUGAAAAAUCUUCAACCUGAUAAGCUCGAACCCAAAUCGGAGAAAUGUGUCUUCAUAGGAUACCUAAAGGAAACUGUUGGGUACACCUUCUAUCACAGAUCCGAUGGCAGGACAUUCGUUGCUAAGAAUGGAUCCUUUCUAGAGAAGGAGUUUCUCAUGAAAGAAGUGAGUGGGAGGAAAGUAGAACUUGAUGAGGUAACUGUACCUGCUCCCUUAUUAGAAAGUAGUAAUUAAAGAAACCGGUUCCUGUGACGCCUACACCAAUUAGUGAGGAAGCUAAUGAUAUUGAUCAUGAAACUUCAGAUCAAGUUACUACCGAACCUCGUUGAGGGAGUUCCGGACUAGGGGGUGUCCGGACAGCCGAACUAUCAUGAUCGGCCGGACUCCAAGACUAUGAAGAUACAAGAUUGAAGACUUCGUCCCGUGUCCGGAUGGGACUUUCCUUGGCAUGGAAGGCAAGCUUGGCGAUGCGGAUAUGUAGAUCUCCUACCAUUGUAACCGACUUUGUGUAACCCUAGCCCUCUCCGGUGUCUAUAUAAACUGGAUGGCUUUAGUCCAUAGGACGAACAACAAUCAUACCAUAGGCUAGCUUCUAGGGUUUAGCCUCCUUGAUCUCGUGGUAGAUCUACUCUUGUAACACACAUCAUCAAUAUUAAUCAAGCAGGACGUAGGGUUUUACCUCCAUCAAGAGGGCCCGAACCUGGGUAAAACAUCGUGUCCCUUGUCUCCUGUUACCAUCCGCCUAGACGCACAGUUCAGGACCCCCUACUCGAGAUCCGCCGGUUUUGACACCGACAUUGGUGCUUUCAUUGGGAGUUCCUCUGUGCCAUCACCGAUAGGCUCGAUGGCUUCUUCGAUCAUCAUCAACGACGCAGUCCAGGGUGAGACCUUCCUCCCCGGAUAGAUCUUCGUAUUCGGCGGCUUCGCACUGCGGGCCGAUUCGCUUGGCCAACUGGAGCAGAUCGGAAGCUACGCUCCUGGCCGUCAGGUCAGAUUUGGAAGUUUGAACUUCACGGCUGACAUCCGCGGGGACUUGAUCCUCGAUGGAUUCGAGCCACAGCCGAGCGUGCCGCACUGUCACGGCAAGCAUGAUUUAGCUCUGUAGCCGGACAGUACCCUGGAGGCCGCACUCGAACCCGCUCCGAUCUUCAAUUCGGAGCCGGCAGCGUAGAUCGAGGACGGAUGGCUAGACACCGCCUCGGGGGCUGCAACCUCUACGGCGAUAGAGCCGAACACCGACCUUGUCCCUCAUAAAGCUCGUGACUUCAAGGUGCCGGACUCCUCACCGGACUCCGAACCUCCCGUGCCCCCUCCGAUCGAAUCCGAUUGGGCGCCGAUCAUGGAGUUCACCGCGGCGGACAUCUUCCAACACUCACCUUUUGGCGACAUCUCGAGUUUGCUAAAGUAUCUCUCAUUAUCAGGAGAGCCCUGGCCGGACUGCGACCAGGACGGUUGGGAUGCGGACGACGAAGAAAUUCAAAGCCCACCCACCACCCACUUGGUAGCCACUGUCGACGAUCUAACCGACAUGCUAGACUAUGACUCCGAAGACAUCGACGGUAUGGACGACGAUGCCGGAGACGACCAAGAACCAGCGCCUACCGGGCACUGGACAACCACCUCAUCAUAUGACAUAUACAUGGUGGAUAUCCCAAAGGAUGGGAAUGGCGAAGGAGCAGCGGAGGAUGACCCCUCCAAAAACAGCCCAAGCGCCGACGUCAGCGGCGCCGUUCUAAAUCCCGCCACAGCAAGAAUGGCGAUUCCGGCACCGGAGAUAAUAAUACCCCGGACAGUGCCGAAGACAACCCCCUCCAGCAAAAUUCAGCGCAGGAGGACGGGGACACCAGCCCUCAUGAGAGAGCGGCAGAAGAAGAGGUAGAGGAUUAUAUGCCUCCCUCCGGAGACGAGGCAAGCCUCGACGACGACGAAUUCAUCAUGCCUGAGGAUCCCGUCGAACAAGAGCAUUUUAAACGCAGGCUUAUGGCCACGGCAAACAGCCUCAAGAAAAAGCAGCAACAACUUAGAGCUGAUCAAGAUCUGCUAGCCGACAGAUGGACUGAAGUCCUCGCGGCCGAAGAGCAUGAGCUUGAACGCCCCUCCAAAAGCUACCCUAAACGCAAGCUGCUCCCCCGAUUAGAGGAGGAGACAUAUGAACCUGCAUCACCAGCAGAUAAUACGGCUGACCGACCACCCCGUGGUCGCGACAGGGAGGCCUCUAGGCCCUUCACUAGAACCAUACCCCGGCAUCGCUCGAAAAGCACAAGGCCACAGGGGAACGCUCCGGACUUGUGAGAUAUAUUGGAGGAUAAGGCAAGACAAUCAAGAUCGAUCUACGGAUCGCGUGGGCGCCCCACGAUACGUGACGACAACCGUCGCGCCGGACAUAGUAAGUCCGGCCGGGCCGAACAAAAUAGACAAAGCUCUCUUGAGCUCCGUCGUGACAUCGCCCAGUACAGAGGCGCCACACACCCACUAUGCUUCACAGAUGAAGUAAUGGAUCAUCAAAUCCCCGAAGGGUUUAAACCCGUCAAUAUCGAAUCUUAUGAUGGCACAACAGACCCCGCUGUUUGGAUCGAAGACUAUCUCCUUCACAUCCACAUGGCCCGCGGUGAUGACCUUCACGCCAUCAAAUAUCUCCCGCUCAAGCUUAAGGGACCUUCCCGGCAUUGGCUUAACAGCUUGCCAGCAGAGUCAAUUGGGAGUUGGGAAGACCUGGAAUCAACAUUCCUCGAUAACUUCCAAGGCACAUAUGUGCGACCACCAGACGCUGAUGACCUAAGCCACAUAAUUCAGCAGCUAGACGAAUCGGCCAGACAAUUCUGGACACGGUUCUUAACCAAGAAAAACCAAAUCGUCGACUGUCCGGAUGUGGAGGCCCUCGCGGCCUUCAAGCAUAACAUCCGCGAUGAGUGGCUUGCCCGGCACCUGGGACAGGAAAAGCCGAAAUCCAUGGCAGCCCUCACAUCACUCAUGACCCGCUUCUGCACGGGUGAGGAUAGCUGGCUAGCACGCAGCAACAACCUCAGCAAAAAUUCUGGCAGUCCGGAUUUUAAGGACCAAAAUGGCAGGUCGCGUCGUAACAAAAACAAACGCCGCACUAACGGCGACAAUAGUGAGGAUACAACAGUCAAUGCUGGAUUCAGAGGCUCUAAACCCGGUCAGCGGAAAAAGCCAUUCAAAAGAACUACUCCGGGUCCGUCCAAUUUGGACAGAAUACUCGACCGCUCGUGCCAGAUACACGGCACCCCCGAAAAACCAGCCAACCACAACAACAGGGACUGUUGGGUAUUCAAGCAGGCAGACAAGUUAAUUGCCGAAAACGAGGACAAGGAGCUGCAUAGCGAUGACGAGGAAGAGACCCGACCGCCGAAUAAUAGAGGACAGAAGGGUUUCCCCCCACAGGUGCGGAUGGUGAACAUGAUAUACGCAACGCACAUACCCUAAAGGGAGCGGAAGCGUGCACUCAGGGAUGUAUACACGAUGGAGCCAGUUGCCCCGAAGUUCAAUCCAUGGUCCUCCUGCCCGAUCAUUUUUGGCCGAAGGGACCACCCCACCAGCAUCCGCCACGGCGGAUUCGCCGCAAUGGUUUUAGACCCAAUCGUCGAUGGAUUUCACCUUACCAGAGUCCUGAUGGACGGCGGCAGCAGCCUGAACCUGCUUUACCAGGAUAUAGUGCACAAAAUGGGCAUAGACCCCUCAAGGAUUAAACCUACCAAGACGACCUUUAAAGGUGUCAUACCAGUUGUAGAAGCCAAUUGUACAGGCUCAGUUACACUGGAAGUGGUCUUCAGAUCCCCGGAUAACUUCCGAAGCGAGGAGUUAAUCUCUGACAUAGUUCCGUUCCGCAGCGGCUAUCAUGCCCUGCUCGGACGUACCGCGUUUGCAAAGUUCAACGCGGUGCCGCACUACGCAUACCUCAAGCUCAAGAUGCCAGGCCCUCGAGGAGUCAUCACGGUCAAUGGAACAUACAGCAGCUCUCGUGGCAGAAGUACAAUGCAGCCUCUUAAGGCAAUUCUCGAGUCCGGCCGUUAAGCGGCCGGACACAGCUAAGCGCGCCCGGAGUAACCUACAACAAGACCACCUGGCACGUUCCGAGCACGCGUAGCAGUGCGGCCCCAACCCCAGCCCCCGCAAAACGUCAAGACAGGUCCUUCGCGUACACCAUUACGCUCUGAAGAUACCAUGGGCAUGGGGAGAGGGGCACGACCACGAUAGGCCCAGACUGCGGCUCAACCACACCAGGGGCUCUCAAGUGUGUCGUUCUUUUUUCUUUCCUCUUAUUUAUUUAUUUUUUAGCCACAGGACUCCGUUCGUCAGAGGCCUUGUCCGGCAGCAGACCUGCCGAACUCACGAUGCAACAGCCAGGGAAGGAUAAAGGCUACAACGAAUAUCCAGGUGGUCUCCGUUACGAGCAUUAAAUCUGUUUUAUACACCACUCCGCAGCCUACCCCUGGAGGGGGACACGCUUAAACAGUCCCGUCCCUUGCUUAUUGCACUAGUUGUAUCGUUCUGCAUUCAUAGCAGCACUUCUUGAAUAAAACAAUGCAGCACCUUUUUGCUUAUAAUUGCGUUUCCUUUUUAUACAUAUGUUCAUUUACGGCAUGUCGCAUCCGUACACUUUGGUACGGUUCAAAUACACCAGGGGCUUACGUUUCCCGCAUCAUGGUGUGAUAAGUCUGAACACUUUCACAAGUGCGGCACCCCGAACUUAUAGCAUUAUAUGCACAUGCUCCGAAUCAUGUCUUGGGUCAAUAGUUGGGUUUGCCCGGCUCCCAUGUUUUGGUACCUUAUGUUCCGUUGUAUCGGCUAAGGUAGCACUGGGAGAACCACUAUGAUUGCGCCCCAGUUGAGCUGGGUUAACGCCUCAGUGGAGAAAGCUAAAACUGACCGUCAUGAUGAGGCGAGAGCCGGUCGCUGUUCGAGAGGUUUUUUGCGAGUCCUUAAAGACUUAUGCCGCUUAGAGCGAGGAGCCGGUUUUUGUCCGGCCCAGGCGUGGAUAGCCCAAAUUCGGCCUUCCGAAGACUAGGGGCUUCGCCGAAAUUUAAAAUUAUAGAAUUCCAUGGCUAAGUGACAGUGUUCAAGCAUUAUAAGUCUGGUUGCCUUGUUCAUCGUGUUGAGCGCCUCCCUAGAUGGACCCAAAAAUGGGAACAAGAGUGCUCAAGUUUAUCCCGAACACCCCAGCACUCGCGGCAUGGGGGUUGAAGCCGACGACUUGCCAUCUCUCAGAUUUGAUAAACAGCCGCACAGGAGGUAAAAUUUUAAAUUAACAAGCGUUGCUUAGCGCAUAUGAACUAAGUUUUCAGCGCACAGGAUAACAAAAUGCGAGUCUACUCAAAUACUACAUCUUUGGAGCACUCACCCGCAAUAGUGCGGGCACCCUUCAGGACACUCUUAUAAUACAUCUCGGGCGUGCGGUACUCCUUGCCCUGCGGUGGCGGGUCCGUCACAAGCUUCUGGGCAUCCAUCUUGCCCCAGUGCACCUUUGCGCGGGCAAGGGCCCGACGGGCACCCUCAAUACAAGCGGAGUGCUUGAUGACUUCAACACACGGGCACGCAUCCACCAGCCGCCGCACUAGGCCGAAGUAGCUCCCAGGCAUGGCCUCCUUAGGCCACAGCCGAACUAUGAGGCCCUUCAUGGCCUGUUCGGCCACCUUGUGGAGCUCGACCAGCUGCUUCAGCUGGUCGCUAAGGGGCACCGGAUGUCCGGCCUCAACAUACUGAGACUAGAAGACCUUCUCCGUCGAGCUCCCCUCCUCGGCUCGGUAGAAUGCGGCAGCAUCGGAUAUGCUGCGAGGAAGAUAUGCGAACGCUCCUGGAGAGCUCCGAAUUCGGGUAAGUGAUAUGUAACUCACACUCACAUGCUUACUGCAUGAAAAAUGCCUUACCUGCCGCUAUUUUCUUCAACGCCUCGAUUUCCUGGAGGGCCUUAUAGGCUUCUGCCUUAGCGGUUUUGGCACUCUCAAGAGCCAUCGCAAGCUCGGACUCUCGAGUCUUCAAGUCAUGCUCCAAACUCUCAUGUUUUUCCAUGAGAGCCUGGAGCUCUUGCUGUACCUCCGCCACCCGCGCCUCAUGCUUCUCUCGCUCGGUGCGUUCCGCGGCCGCACUACGUUCGGCCGCGGACACCGCCUCCUUCAGGGUCGCCACCUCGUUCGUGGCCCUGUUACAUCCACGUUAUCCUUGUCAUUUUUCUUGCAACCAAAAUCCUUUUCUAUAAGGUACAAUUUUAAUAAGGUGUUACUCACCUUCCUUGUCCUCGAGCUGCUUUUUGGCAUGGCCAAGCUCGUUCUCAGACUGCUCGAGUCUUUCCUUCAAAGUAUUGACCUCCGCAGACAGUGCGACGGAGGUCAGCAGCACAGCCUGCAAUCCCAUAUUGACAUAUUUUUUAUGACUCCUGCGUAUAUCUUUUUAGAUCCUCAGUCCGACUUUUCUUUCCGAACACCGAACCGAGCAUCAGGGGCUACUGUCUAUGCGGUACCAUUUUAUAUAUAUCAAAAUUCUUACCUCAAAGCCUGUUAGAAGGCUGCUGCAGGCUUCUGUCAGCCCGCUCUUGGCAAGCUGAACCUUCUGAAUUACCGCACUCAUAACAGUGCGGUGUUCCUCUUCAAUGGAGGCGCCAUUGAGCGCCUCCAACAAGUUAUCCGGCGCCUCCGGUUGGACGGAGGCUGCCGGCGUCACGGUCUUGCCCUUCUUACGAAGGGGUCGCCCGCCGGACUCCGGAGCCACUGUAGGUUCCGGGGCCGAGUCCGAUGCAAAGUCCGGGAGGUUGUCCUGCGACACCUCCGGGGCCUCUUCCUCCUGGUGGGUCCCUUCCUGGGAUCCCACCUCGGCGUCGUCCGCAUCACGGGGGGUGGAGGCAGUUGGAAGGGAAUCCAUGUCCGACGCACCUAAGGACCCGCUCGACGAAGCAGGGAGAUCAUCCUUGGGCGGACUGUAGGGUUGUAUGCGGCAUUAGAAAGACAUUAUGUGGUGAAAAGAAAAACCUUGAAGUUAUUCGGGAGUCCGGAUACUUACGAUCUCGCCAGGGGCUUGGCCCUUGGAGGCCAGUCCUCGUCGUCGUCACUGGCGUUGGCGGAGCAGUCCGGGGAAAGAGUUUUUCCCUUCUUGGACCCUUCGGCCUCCCUUGUUGGGGAGGCCUUCCUUUUCUUCCCUCCCCCCGCUGGGGGAGAGGCUUUCUUCUUCUCCUCCUCGCCUUUGUGGGAAGAGUCGGCCUCGGAUUCAUCAUCCGAUAGCACUUGAGAACGGGAGCUCUUUCGAGUACCCGUGGCCUUCUUCUCCGGCACCACAUGGGGUGCCGGAGCCAGCAACCCCAUUAGGCGGGCGUCCGCUGGGUCCUCUGGCAAUGGGGCCGGACAGAUAGUCUGUUCGGCCUUUGCCAGCCAGUCCUGUCAAAGGUAAAGGGAGUUUAGAUCCCGCAUAGAGUCAAACUAUGGAAAACAAGCGACAAAAUCGUUUACCUCGUCAGUUGGAUGCCGCGAGCUGAAUCCGCGAUCUUCGGUAGCGGAUGCGGGAGCCUCGGCGCCCUUGAACAGCACCUUCCAGACAUCUUCGUACGUAGUGUCGAAGAGCCCUUUCAGAGUCUGGUGCUGCGCCGGAUCGAAUUCCCACAUGUUGAAGCCCGUCGCUGGCACGGGAGAAUCCGGCGGAUGAGCAUGACUUGGACUACGUUGACAAGCUUGAGCUUCUUGUCCACCAGCUUUUGGAUACAGGCUUGGAGUCCUAUCAGUUCCUCCGAAUCACCCCAGAUCCGGCCGAUCUCUUUCCAGGAGGUGAGCCGCGUGGGGAUGCCGGAUCUGAAUUCGGGGGCCGCUGCCCAAUCAGGGUCAUGCGGCUCGGUGAUGUAGAACCACCCCGAUUGCCACCCCUUAACGGUUUCCACGAAGGUGCCCUCCAGCCAAGUAACGUGGGACAUCCUGCCCACCAUGGCGCCUCCGCACUCCGCUUGGCUGCCCUUCACAACCUUCGGCUUGACACUGAAGGUCUUGAGCCACAAGCCGAAGUGGGGCUGGAUGCAGAGGAAGGCCUCGCACAUGAUGAUAAACGCCGAGAUGUUGAGGAUGAAAUUCGGGGCCAGAUCAUGGAAAUCCAGGCCGUAGUAGAACAUGAGCCCCCGGACAAAGGGAUGAAGUGGGAAGCCCAGUCCGCGGAGGAAAUGGGGAAGAAAUACUACCCUCUCAUGGGGCCUGGGGGUGGGGAUGAGCUCCCCCUCGUCGGGGAGCCGGUGCGCGAUGUUGCUGGACAAAUAUCCGGCGUUGCGCAGCUUCUGGAUCUGCCCCUCCAUAAUGGAGGAGGCCAUCCACUUGCCUCCCGCUCCGGACAUAGUUGGAGAAGGUUGAGGUGAGAAGUGCGGACUUGGGCGCUGGAGCUUGAGUUCGCGGAGAUGGAUAAGCCAAGGAGGAAGAAGGCGCAAGUAAAAGGGUUGGAUCUUUAUCCCCUUAUAUGGGCGGACAAAAACAUGUGUCCCCACUGGCCUGGUAAAACUCGCUUAUCUCCCAAGUGCCACAAUCAAUGGCGCGGUUGGGUUACCCACGUCCGUAUUGAUGGGAAUCCCGGAAUAAGGGGAACACGAUCUCUACUUCGACAAGACGUGCCAAGGAAACCGCUUCACUAAACGCGCUAAGGUGGUACAGUAAAAACAAUUCGAGUAAAGGCUUGGUAGUGGUGUGACGUCACGCCACAGAAUACGUCAGCAGAUUGAACUUGUGUAAUAUUAUUCUCUCUAUGAUGGUACAUGGAAUUUAUUUUUUGCAGAGCCGGACACUAUCCUGGUGUUCACAAUCUUCUAUAAAUUAUUCGGAGGAAGAACCCGCCUUGCAAUGCCGAAGACAACAUGCGCGCCGGACUCGUCAUCAUUGAAGCCUGGUUCAGGGGCUACUGAGGGAGUUCCGGACUAGGGGGUGUCCGGACAGCCGAACUAUCAUGAUCGGCCGGACUCCAAGACUAUGAAUAUACAAGAUUGAAGACUUCGUCCCGUGUUCGGAUGGGACUUUCCUUGGCGUGGAAGGCAAGCUUGGCGAUACGGAUAUGUAGAUCUCCUACCAUUGUAACCGACUUUGUGUAACCCUAGCCCUCUCUGGUGUCUAUAUAAACCAAAUGGCUUUAGUCCAUAGGACGAACAACAAUCAUACCAUAGGCUAGCUUCUAGGGUUUAGCCUCCUUGAUCUUGUGGUAGAUCCACUCUUGUAACACACAUCAUCAAUAUUAAUCAAGCAGGACGUAGGGUUUUACCUCCAUCAAGAGGGCCCGAACCUGGGUAAAACAUCGUGUCCCUUGUCUCCUGUUACCAUCCGCCUAGACGCACAGUUCGGGACCCCCUACCCGAGAUCCGCCAGUUUUGACACCGACACUCAUAGGUCAACGAGAGUAAGAUCCGCACCAGAGUGGUACGGUAAUCCUAUUCUGGAAGUCAUGUUACUUGACCAUGGCGAACCUACGAACUAUGAGGAAGCGAUGAUGAGCCAAGAUUCCACAAAAUGGCUAGAGGCCAUUGUCGGUGUCAAAACCAGCGGAUCUCGGGUAGGGGGUCCCGAACCGUGCGUCUAAGGCUAAUGGUAACAGGAGGCGGGGGACACAAUGUUUACCCAGGUUCGGGCCCUCUCUAUGGAGGUAAUACCCUACUUCCUGCUUGAUUGAUCUUGAUGAUAUGAGUAUUACAAGAGUUGAUCUACCACGAGAUCGUAGAGGCUAAACCCUAGAAGCUAGCAUACAGUUGUGAUUGUUGUUGUCCUACGGACUAAACCCUUCGGUUUAUAUAGACACUGGAGGGGGCUAGGGUUACACAAAUUCAGUUACAGAGAAGGAAAUCUACAUAUCCGAAUUGCCAAGCUUGCCUUCCACGCAAAGGAGAGUCCCACCCGGACACGAGACAAAGUCUUCAAUCUUGUAUCUUCAAAGUCCAACAGUCCGGCACAAGUACAUAGUCUGGCUGUCCGAGUACCCCCUAAUCCAGAACUCCCUCAGUAGCCCCUGAACCAGGCUUCAAUGAUGAUGAGUCCGGCGCGCAGAUUGUCUUUGGCAUUGCAAGGUGGGUUCCUUCUCCGAAUACUCCAAGGUAGAUAUUGAACACAUGAAUCGUGUCCGGCUCUGCAAAACAAAUUCCACGUACUACUGUAGAGAGCACAAUAUUCCACAAAUCUAAUCUGCUGACAACUUUCCAUAGCGUGACAUCACACCGUGGCCUGGUCAUUAUGCGAACUGUUUUUCUCAACCUGCUACUGCACAUAUUGCGAGGCAGUUUUACUGGCACGUCUUGUCGAAGCAGAGAUCGUGUCCCCUUAUCACGGGAUUCUCAUCAAUAUGGGUGUUGGUAACCCAACCGCGCCAUCAACGUGGCGCUUGGGGAAUAAGCGAGUUUAUGGGGCAAGUGGGGAGGCGCAUAGUUUCUACCGCCUUUAUAAAGAGACAAGGAUUCCCAUUUUUCACCCACGCCCUCUUCUUCCUCUGCUCAUCCAUUCUCGCUCGAGCUCCAGCGCCCAAGCUUUCACCUUCUCUGCAAAAGUCAUUCCAAGCAUGUCCGGAGCGGGAGGCAAGUGGAUGGCCUCCUCCGUCACGGAGGAGGACAUUACGAAGCUUCGGGAGGCCGGAUACCUGUCCGCAAACAUCACGCACUGGCUUCCGGCUGAAGGGCAGAUUGUCCCAACCCCAAAACCCCAGGAGAGGGUAGUGUUCCUCUCUCACUUCAUCCGUGGACUGGGAUCCCCCCUCCACCCGUUUGUCUGCGAGCUGAUGUUCUACUACAGGCUGGACUUCCAUGAUCUGGCCCCCAAUUUCAUCCUCAACAUCUCAGCGUUCAUCGCCGUGUGCGAGGCCUUCCUCUGCAUCAUGCCCCACUUCGGCCUAUGGCUGAGACCUUCAAUGUGAAGCCAAAGGUGGUGGGCGGCCAGCAAGCGGAGUGCGGGGGCGCCAUGGUGGGCAAGAUGCCCAAUGUCACCUGGCCCGAAGGCUCCUAUGUGGAGACCGUGAAGGGGUGGCAAUCGGGGUGGUUCUACAUCACCGAGCCGCGCGACCCAACUGGGCGGCGACCCCUGAAUUUUGAUCCGGCGUCCCCAUGCGGCUCACCUCCUAGAAAGAGAAGGGCUUAGCCUGGGGCUCCUCGGUGGAGCUGACCGGACUCCAGACCUGCACCCAAAACAUGAUAGGCAAGAAAAUCAAGCUUGUCAAUGUGGUCCAGGUCAUGCUCAUCCGCUGGAUCCUUCCAUGUCAAAGACGGGCUUAUAAUUUGUGGGAGUUUGACCCGGUCGAACACCAAAUGCUGCAAGAGCUCUUCGACAUGACGCACGAAGACGUCUGGAAGGUGCUCUUCAAGGCCACUGAGGUCCCCCCACCCAUUACCGAAGAACGCGGACUCAGCGCGAAAGCCAAGCCCAUUCGGUGAGUCUUUAUAUUUUGCAAGAUGUGCCUUUUACCAGCAUAUUCGUGGGAGGAAACUAAGCCUCCAAGCUGAUUUAAUCAGGACUGGGUAUCGACAGCGGAGCGGAUUGACUGUCUGGCUCCACUAUCCGAAGAUCAAGCAUCGCCUCUCUUAACGAAGAUGAUGUUUCCGGUGCCCUAUGAGGUGCCGGAGAAGAAGGCCAAGAAGAAGGCCGCGGGGACCAGGAAAGGUCUCCGGCGCAAGGUGGCAUCGGACGUGACGUCCGAAGACACCGAGACGCGCUCCUCCAACGAAGCCGAGGAGGAGGAAGAGGAAAUUCCUCCCCUCGCAACCGGGUGGGGGAGAAGAAGAGGAAGGCCGCCCUGCAGGGGGAGGCCGAGGCGUCCAAGAAGGGAAAGACCUUCCUUCCGGACCACUCCACCACGGCCACCUACAGCGGCGAGGAGUGGCUGCCCAGGGACAAGCCCCUGGCUAAGUCGUAAGCAUCCUCGACACUUUAAUACUUCCAGUAUGUUUUGCUUUAUUGCUUCUUAUCAUGCCAAACAUGAAUGUGCAGUCCGGCCAAGUCCCACAUCAGGGUAUCCUCUUCGGAGGGGUCCUUGGGCCCGUCGGCAAUGAACAACGAUUCACUCCCAACAACCUCCUCCCCAGGCCCGCGGACGACACCGAGGUGUUGUCUCAGUGGAUACAACACUAGGGGGAGAUGGUUCUGGAGACGCCCCCAGGCAAAAUCCCAGUCGCCGGGCACAUGGGAGGGAAGGCCCCCAUGGACUCGGAUAACGGGGGCCGCAGCAAGUCUGGCCCCCAGCCGAAUACGGCUCCGGAAACCCAAGUGGUUCCGGAUUUAGGCACGCAGCCUCUCUCUAAGGAGGGCGAGAUGCCUGUACCGAUGACCUCUGUCCAUCUAGAGGCGUCAGAUAACUUACUGGAAGCGCUUCGCGGCGCUUCCAUUGAUGAAGAACACCAUACUCUUAUGAGUGCGGUGAUUGAGAAGGUCCGGUCCGCCAAAAGCGGAUUGACCGAAGCCUGCGCCAGCCUCCUAACAGGCUUUGAGGUAAGUAAAAAAUUGUGAGAAAAUAUCACAGUAUGGACAGUAGCCCCUGAUGCUCUGUUUGGUGUUCGGAAAGAAAGGCCGAACAGAGGAUCAAAUAACAUCCGCAGGAGUCUAACAAAAGAUGUCUAUGUGAAUAAGCAGGCGUCGCUGCUGGCCACUGCCACUCGUACUGCGGAGGUCUUCGAACUGAAGCAGGACCUGGAGCGGGCCGAGGGAGAGCUCGGCCUCGUGAAGAGGCAGCUCGAAAAGAACAAAGGUACAUAAUACCCCGUAUGUAUAUUUAGAAAGGAAAAAUCGUUUUUGCUGAUGGAAGCGUCAUGAACUUUACUAGGGGCCACGACCGAACUGGCGGCCCUUAAGGCGGCAUUGACCGUGGCCGAAGACAAAGUGGCCAAGGAGCACGCCGGGCGCGAGAAGCAGGAGGACCGAGUCAACGAGGUCCAGCAAGAGCUCCAGGAUUUCGUCCAAAAAUACGAGUCCUUGGAGCGUGACUCUAAGACACAAGAGUCCGAACUUGCGAAGGCCCUCCGGAGCACACGAGACGCCAAGGCCGAAGCCCAAAAGGCCCUCCAGGAGACUCAGGCGGCCAAGAAGAUUGCGGCGGGUAAGACAUUCAUUAUGCAAAGCAAGCAUGUGAAGGAGACUUUCUUUUACUUACCCGAAUUUGGAGCUCUCUGCUACGUCUUGAGCUUGCGUUGGUUUUCCUUGAAGAGGAAAGGGUGAUGCAGCAAAGUAGCAUAAGUAUUUCCCUCAGUUUUUGAGAACCAAGGUAUCAAUCCAGUAGGAGGCUCCUCACAAGUCCCACGCACAUACACAAACAAACAAAGAACUCGAAACCAACACAAUAAAGGGGUUGUCAAUCCCUUCAUGGCCACUUGCGAAAGUGAGAUCUGAUAGAGAUAGUAUGAUAAGAUAAAUAUAUUUUUGGUAUUUAAUAAUAUAGAUGCAAAAAGUAAAGAUGCAAAUAAAAGUAGAUUAAAAGCUUAUAUGAUAAAAGAUAGACCCGGGGGCCAUAGGUUUCACUAGUGGCUUCUCUCAAGAUAGCAUAAGUAUUACAGUCGGUGAACAAAUUACUGUCGAGCAAUUGAUAGAAAAGCGAAUAAUUAUGAGAUUAUCUAGGCAUGCUCAUGUAUAUAGGCAUCACGUCCGUGACAAGUAGACCGACUCCUGCCUGCAUCUACUACUAUUACUCCACACAUCGAUCGCUAUCCAGCAUGCAUCUAGAGUAUUAAGUUCAUAAGAACAGAGUAGCGCAUUAAGAAAGAUGACAUGAUGUAGAGGGAUAAACUCAAGCAAUAUGAUAUAAACCCCAUAUUUUUAUCCUCGAUGGCAACAAUACAAUACGUGCCUUGCAACCCCUGCUGUCACUGGGUAAGUGUUGGAAAUAUGCCCUAGAGGCAAUAAUAAAUAAGUUAUUAUUAUAUUUCCUUGUUCAUGAUAAUCGUUUGUUAUCCAUGCUAUAAUUGUAUUGAUAGAAAACUCAGAUACAUGUGUGGAUACAUAGACAACACCAUGUCCCUAGUAAGCCUCUAAUUGACUAGCUCGUUGAUCAAUAGAUGGUUAUGGUUUCCUGACCAUGGACAUUGGAAGUCGUUGAUAACGGGAUCACAUCAUUAGGAGAAUGAUGUGAUGGACAAGACCCAAUCCUAAGCCUAGCACAAAGAUCGUGUAGUUCAUAUGCUAAAGCUUUUCUAAUGUCAAGUAUCAUUUCCUUAGACCAUGAGAUUUUGCAACUCACGGAUACCGUAGGAAUGCUUUGGGUGUACCAAACGUCACAACGUAACUGGGUGGCUAUAAAGGUGCACUACAGGUAUCUCCGAAAGUGUCUAUUGGGUUGGCACGAAUCGAGACUGGGAUUUGUCACUCCGUGUGAUGGAGAGGUAUCUCUGGGCCCACUCGGUAGGACAUCAUCACAAUGUGCACAAUGUGAUCAAAGAGUUGAUCGCGGGAUGAUGUGUUACGGAACGAGUAAAGAGACUUCCCGGUAACGAGAUUGAACAAGGUAUCGGCAUACCGACGAUCGAAUCUCGGGCAAGUACAAUACCGUUAGACAAAGGGAAUUGUAUACGGGAUUGAUUGAGUCCUUGACAUCGUGGUUCACCUGAUGAGAUCAUCGUGGAACAUGUGGGAGCCAACAUGGGUAUCCAGAUCCCGCUGUUGGUUAUUGACCGGAGAACGUCUCGGUCAUGUCUGCAUGGUUCCCGAACCCGUAGGGUCUACACACUUAAGGUUCGAUGAUGCUAGGGUUAUAAAGGAAGUUUGUAUGUGGUUAUAGAAUGUUGUUCGGAGUCCCGGAUGAGAUCUCGGACGUCACGAGGAGUCCCGGAAUGGUCCAGAGGUGAAGAUUGAUAUGUCGAAGGGUUUUGGAGUCCGGAAGUGUUCCGGAGGUACCGGGUGAUGACCAGCAUGACCGAAAGGUGUUUCAGGAGCCCCGACAAGUGUUGGGGGGGCUUCAUGGGCCAAGGGGAGGGGGCAAACCAGCCCACUAAGGGGCUGUGCGCCCCCCUCACCUAUUCCCACGUGACCAGGGGGUUUGGGGCGCCCCAUCUAGGGUUCCCACCUCCUGGCUUGGGGGCCAAGUCACCCAAAGGGGCGAUCCCAUCUGCCCUGGCCGCCGCCGCCCCUAGGGGAAACCCUAGGGUGCCUCCCCCUCUCCCUUCCCCCUAUAUAUAGUGGAGGUUUUGGGGCUGCCCAACACAUGAGUUUCUCUCUCCCAAGGCGCAGCCCUACCUCUCUCCCUCCUCGUCUCUCGUAGUGCUUGGCGAAUCCCUGCUGGAGUACCGCGCUCCUCCACAACCACCACGCCGUCGUGCUGCUGCUGGACGGAGUCUUCCCCAACCUCUCCCUCUCUCCUUGCUGGAUCAAGGCAUGGGAGACGUCACCGGGCUGUACGUGUCUUGAACGCGGAGGUGCCGUCCGUUCGACACUAGGAUCUCCAGUGAUUUGGAUCACGACGAGUACGACUCCUUCAACCCCGUUCUCUUGAACGCUUAUGCUUAGCGAUCUACAAGGGUAUGUAGAUGUACUCUCCUUCCCCUCGUUGCUGGUUUAUCCAUAGAUAGAUCUUGGUGACACGUAGGAAAAUUUUGAAUUUCUGCUACGUUCCCCAACAGUGGCAUCAUGAGCUAGGUCUAUUGCGUAGAUUCUUUGCAUGAGUAGAACACAAAGUAGUUGUGGGCGUUGAUUUUGUUCAAUAUGCUUACCGUUACUAGUCCAAUCUUGUUUCGACGGUAUUGUGGGAUGAAGCGGCCCGGACCGACCUUACACGUACUCUUACGUGAGACAGGUUCCACCGACUGACAUGCACUUGGUGCAUAAGGUGGCUAGCGGGUGCCAGUCUCUCCCACUUUAGUCGUAACGGAUUCGAUGAAAAGGGUCCUUAUGAAGGGUAAAUAGCGAUUGGCAUAUCACGUUGUGGUUUUGCGUAGGUAAGAAACGUUCUUGCUAGAAACCCAUAGCAGCCACGUAAAACAUGCAAACAACAAUUAGAGGACGUCUAACUUGUUUUUGCAGGGUAUGCUAUGUGAUGUGAUAUGGCCAAGAAGAAUGUGAUGAAUGAUAUGUGAUGUAUGAGAUUGAUCAUGUUCUUGUAAUAGGAAUCACGACUUGCAUGUCAAUGAGUAUGACAACCGGCAGGAGCCAUAGGAGUUGUCUUUAUUUAUUGUAUGACCUGCGUGUCAUUGAACAACGCCAUGUAAUUACUUUACUUUAUUGCUAACCGGUAGCCAUAGUAGUAGAAGUAAUAAGUUGGCGAGACAACUUCAUGGAGACACGAUGAUGGAGAUCAUGAUGAUGGAGAUCAUGGUGUCAUGCCGGUGACGAUAAUGAUCAUGGAGCCCCGAAGAUGGAGAUCAAAAGGAGCAAUGUGAUAUUGGCCAUAUCAUGUCACUAUUUGAUUGCAUGUGGUGUUUAUCAUGUUUAUGCAUCUUAUUUGCUUAGAACGACGGUAGUAAAUAAGAUGAUCCCUCAUUAAAAUUUCAAGAAAGUGUUCCCCCUAACUGUGCACCGUUGCGAAAGUUCGUCGUUUCGAAGCACCACGUGAUGAUCGGGUGUGAUAGAUUCUUACAUUCACAUACAACAGGUGUAAGCCAGAUUUACACACGCGAAACACUUAGGUUGACUUGACGAGCCUAGCAUGUACAGACAUGGCCUCAGAACACAAGAGACUGAAAGGUCGAGCAUGAGUCGUAUAGUAGAUACGAUCAACAUGAAGAUGUUCACCGAUGAUGACUAGUCCAUCUCACGUGAUGAUCGGACACGGCCUAGUUGACUCGGAUCAUGUAAUCACUUAGAUGACUAGAGAGAUGUCUAUCUGAGUGGGAGUUCAUAAGAUGAACUUAAUUAUCCUGAACAUAGUCAAAAGACCCUUUGCAAAUUAUGUCAUAGCUCACGCUUUAGUUCUACUGUUUUAGAUAUGUUCCUAGAGAAAAUAUAGUUGAAAGUUGACAGUAGUGAUUAUGCGAUCAGUAGAAAGCUUAUGUCCUUAAUGCACUGCUCAGUGUGCAGAACCCCAAACAUCGUCUGUGGAUGUUGCGAACAUCGGACAUACACAUUUUGAUAACUACGUGAUAGUUCAGUUAAACGGUUUAGAGUUGAGGCACCAAAGACGUUUUCGAAACAUCGCGAAACAUAUGAGAUGUUUCGAGGGCUGAAAUUGGGAUUUCAGGCUCGUGCCCACGUCAAGAGGUAUGAGACCUCCGACGAUUUUCUUACCCUGCAAACUAAGGGAGAAAAGCUCAAUCGUUGAGCUUGUGCUCAGAUUGUCUGAGUACAACAAUCACUUUAAUCGAGUGGGAGUUGAUCUUCCAGAUGAGAUAGUGAUGUUUCUCCAAAGUCAUUACCACCAAGCUGCUAGAGCUUCGUGAUGAACUAUAACAUAUCAGGGAUAUAUAUGAUGAUCCUUGAGGUAUUCGCGAUGUUUGACACCGUGAAAGUAGAAAUCAAGAAGGAGCAUCAAUUGUUGAUGGUUGGUGAAACCACUAGUUUCAAAAGGGCAAGGGCAAGAAGGGAUACUUCAUGAAACGGCAAAUCAGCUGCUGCUCUAGUGAAGAAACCCAAGGUUGAACCCAAACCCGAGACUAAGUGCUUCUGUAAUAAGGGGAAUAGCCACUAGAGCAGAAUUACCCUAGAUACUUGGUAGAUGAGAAGGCUGGCAAGGUCGAUAGAAGUAUAUUGGAUAUACAUUAAGUUAAUGUGUACUUUACUAGUACUCCUAGUAGCACCAGGGUAUUAGAUACCGGUUCGGUUGCUAAGUGUUAGUAACUCGAAAUAAAAGGCUACGGAAUAAACGAAGACUAGCUAAAGUGAGAUGACGAUAUGUGUUGGAACUGUUUCCAAGUUUGAUGUGAUUAAACAUCGCACGCUCCCUCUACCAUCAAGAUUAGUAUUAAACCUGAAUAAUUGUCUUUUGGUGUUUGCGUUGAGCAUAGACAUGAUUGGAUUAUGUCUAUCGCAAUGCGGUUAUUCAUUUAAGGAUAAUAAUGGUUACUCUAUUUAUUUGAAUAAUACCUUUAAUGGUCUUGCACCUAAAGGAAUGGUUUAUUGAAUCUCGAUCGUAGUGAUACACAUUUUCAUGCCAAAAGAUAUAAGAUAGUAAUGAUAGUACCACUUACUUGUGGCAUUGCCAUGUAAGUCAUAUUGGUAUAAAACGCAUGAAGAAGCUCCAUGUUGAUGGAUCUUUGGACUCACUCGUUUUUGAAAAGUUUGAGACAUGCGAACCAUGUCUAUUGGUGUAUAUGCAUGAAGAAACUCCAUGCAGAUGGAUCGUUUGGACUCUCUUGAUUUUGAAUCACUUGAGACAUGCAAAUCAUACCACAUGGGCAAGAUGACUGAAAGCCUCAUUUUCAGUAAAAUGGAACAAGAAAGCAACUUGUUGGAAGUAAUACAUUUUGAUGUGUGCAGUCCAAUGAGUGCCCAGGCACGCAGUGGAUAUCGUUAUGUUCUUACUUCACGGAUGAUUUGAGUAGAUACUGAGUAUAUUUACUUGAUGAAACACAAGUCUGAAUUAUUGAAUGGUUCAAGUAAUUUCAGAGUGAAGUUGAAGAUCAUCGUGACAAGAGGAUAAAAUGUCUAUGAUAUGAUCAUAGAGAUGAGUAUCUGAGUUAUGAGCUUUGGCAUGCAAUUAAGACAUUGUGGAAAUGGUUUCACAAUUUAUACCGCCUAGAACACCAUAGUGUGAUGGUGUGUCCGAACAUCAUAGUUGCACCCUAUUGGAUAUGGUGCGUACCAUGAUGUCUCUUAUCGAAUUACCACUAUCGUUCAUGGGUUAAGCAUUAGAGACAACCGCACUCACCUUAAUAGGGCACCAUGUAACUCCGUUGAGACGACACCGUAUGAACUAUGGUUUGGAGAAACCUAAGUUGUCGUUUCUUAAAAGUUUGGGGCUGCGACGCUUAUGUGAAAAAGUUUCAAUUGAUAAGCUCGAACCCAAAGCGGAUAAAAUGCAUCUUCAUAGGACACCCAAAAUAGUUGGGUAUACCUCCUAAUUCAGAUACGAAAGCAAUAGGGAUUGUUUCUUGAAUCGGGUCCUUUCUCGAGGAAAAGUUUCUCUCGAAAGAAUUGAGUGGGAGGAUGGUGGAGACUUGAUGAGGUUACUGAAUCAUCACUUCAACCAGUGUGUAGCAGGGCACAGGAAGUUGUUCUUGUGGCACCUACACCAAUUGAAGUGGAAGCUUAUGAUAGUGAUCAUGAAGCUUCGGAUCAAGUCUCUACCGAACCUGUAGGAUGACAAGGACGCGUACUGCUUCGGAGUGGUACGGUGAUCCUGUCUUAAAGGUCAUGUUGCUAGACAACAAUGAACCUACGAGCUAUGGAGAAGCGAUGGUGGGCCCAUAUUCCGACAAAUGGUUAGAAGCCAUGAAAUCCGAGAUAGGAUCCAUGUAUCAGAACAAAGCAUGGACUUUGGUGGACUUGCCCGAUGAUCGGCAAGCCACUGAGAUAAAUGGAUCUUUAAGAAGAAGACGGACGUGGACGGAAAUGUCACCGUCUAUGAAGGUCGACUUGUGGCGAAGAGUUUUCACAAGUUCAAGGAAGUUGACUACGAUGAGAUUUUCUCAUCCGUAGCGAUGCUUAAGUCCGUCGAAAUCAUGUUAGCAUUAGCUGCAUUUAUGAAAUCUGGCAGAUGGAUGUCAAAACUAGUUUCCUUACCAGUUUUCGUAAGGAAAGGUUGUAUGCAAUACAAUCAGAAAGGUUUUGUCGAUCCUAAGGAUGCUAAAAGGUAUGCUAGCUCCAGCGAUCCUUCCAUGGACUGAAGUAAGCAUCUCGGAAUUGGAAUAUGCACUUUGAUAAGAUGAUCAAAGAUUUUGGGUUUAUACAAAGUUUAUGAGAAACUUGUAUUUCCAAAGAAGUGAGUGGGAGCACUAUAGAAUUUCUGAUGAGUAUAUGUUGUUGACAUAUUGUUGAUCAGAAAUGAUGUAGAAUUUCUAGAAAUCAUAUAAGGUUAUUUGAAAAGUGUUUUUCAAUGGAAAACCUAGAUUAGGCUACUUGAACAAUAAGCGUCAAGAUCUAUAAGAUAGAUCAAAAUGCUUAAUAAUACUUUCAAAUGAGCACGUACCUCGACAUGAUCUUGAAAGUGUUCAAGAUGGAUCAGUCAAAGAAGGAGUUCUUGCCUGAGUUAUAAGGUACAAAGUUAAAACUUAAAGCUCGACCACGACAGAAAAGAGAGAGAGGAUGAAGGUCCUCCCCUAUGCUUUAGACGUAGGCUCUACAGUAUGCUAUGCUAAGUACCGCACCUGAUGUGUGCCUUGCCACAUGUCUGGCAAGAGGGUACAAAGGUGAUCAAGGAGUGGAUCACCAGAUAGUGGUCAAAAUUAUCCUUAGAGGAAUAAGGAUUUGUUUCUCGAUUAUGGAGGUGAUAAAGAGUUCGGCGUAAAGGCUUACGACGAUGCAAGCUUUAACACCUAUCCGAAUGACUCUGAGUAGCAAACCGGAUACAUAUAGUGGAGCGACCAUUUGGAAUAGCUCCAAGUGGAGCGUGGAAGCAGCAUUUACAAUAUGACCUAGAGAUUUGCGAAGUACAUACGGAUCUGAAUGUUGCAGACUGUUGACUAAAACUUCUCUCACAAGCAAAACAUGAUCAAACUCCAGAACUCAUUGAGUCUUAAUCACAUGAUGAUGUGAACUAGUUUAAUGACACUAGUAAACUCUUUGGAAGUUGGUCACAUGGCGAUGUUACGUGUGAGUGUUAAUCACAUGGCGAUGUGAACUAGAUUAUUGACUCUAGUGCAAGUGGGAGUCUGUUGGAAAUAUGCCCUAGAGGCAAUAAUAAAUAAGUUAUUAUUAUAUUUCCUUGUUCAUGAUAAUCAUUUAUUAUCCAUGCUAUAAUUGUAUUGAUAGGAAACUCAGAUACAUGUGUGGAUACAUAGACAACACCAUGUACCUAGUAAGCCUCUAAUUGACUAGCUCGUUGAUCAAUAGAUGGUUGCGGUUUCCUAACCAUGGACAUUGGAAGUCGUUGAUAACGGGAUCACAUCAUUAGGAGAAUGAUGUGAUGGACAAGACCCAAUCCUAAGCCUAGCACAAAGAUCGUGUAGUUCGUAUGCUAAAGCUUUUCUAAUGUCAAGUAUCAUUUCCUUAGACCAUGAGAUUUUGCAACUCCCGGAUACCGUAGGAAUGCUUUGGGUGUACCAAACAUCACAACUUAACUGGGUGGCUAUAAAGGUGCACUACAGGUAUCUCCGAAAGGGUCUAUUGGGUUGGCACGAAUCGAGACUAGGAUUUGUCACUCCGUGUGACGGAGAGGUAUCUCUGGGCCCACUCGGUAGGACAUCAUCACAAUGUGCACAAUGUGAUCAAAGAGUUGAUCGUGGGAUGAUGUGUUAUAGAACGAGUAAAGAGACUUGCCGGUAACGAGAUUGAACAAGGUAUCGGCAUACCGACGAUCGAAUCUCGGGCAAGUACAAUACCGUUAGACAAAGGGAAUUGUAUACGGGAUUGAUUGAGUCCUUGACAUCAUGGUUCAUCUGAUGAGAUCAUCGUGGAACAUGUGGGAGCCAACAUGGGUAUCCAGAUCCCGCUGUUGGUUAUUGACCGGAGAACGUCUCGGUCAUGCCUGCAUGGUUCCCGAACCCGUAGGGUCUACACACUUAUGGUUCGAUGACGUUAGGGUUAUAAAGGAAGUUUGUAUGUGGUUACCGAAUGUUGUUCGGAGUCCCGGAUAAGAUCUCGGACGUCACGAGGAAUCCCGGAAUGGUCCGGAGGUGAAGAUUGAUAUAUUGGACGAAGGGUUUUGGAGUUUGGAAGUGUUCCGGAGGUACCGGGUGAUGACCAGCAUGACCGAAAGGUGUUUCGGGAGCCCCGACAAGUGUUGGGGGGGCUUCAUGGGCCAAGGGGAGGGGGAAAACCAGCCCACUAAGGGGCUGUGCGCCCCCGUCACCUAUUCCCACGUGACCAGGGGGUUUGGGGCGCCCAUCUAGGGUUCCCACCUCCUGGCUUGGGGGCCAAGUCACCCAAAGGGGCGAUCCCAUCUGCCCUGGCCGCCGCCCCCCCUAGGGGAAACCCUAGGGCGCCUCCCCCUCUCCCUUCCCCCUAUAUAUAGUGGAGGUUUUGGGGCUGCCCAACACAUGAGUUUCUCUCUCCCAAGGCGCAGCCCUACCUCACUCCCUCCUCGUCUCUCGUAGUGCUUGGCGAAGCCCUGCUGGAGUACCGCGCUCCUCCACCACCACCACGCCGUCGUGAUGCUGCUGGACGGAGUCUUCCCCAACCUCUCCCUCUCUCCUUGCUGGAUCAAGGCAUGGGAGACAUCACCGGGCUGUACGUGUGAUGAACGCGGAGGUGCCGUCCGUUCGGCAGUAGGAUCUCUAGUGAUUUGGAUCACGACGAGUACGACUCCUUCAACCCCGUUCUCUUGAACGCUUCCGCUUAGCGAUCUACAAGGGUAUGUAGAUGCACUCUCCUUCCCCUCGUUGCUGGUUUCUCCAUAGAUAGAUCUUGGUGACACGUAGGAAAAUUUUGAAUUUCUGCUACGUUCCCCAACAGUAAGGACACCGCAAGAUUGAACCCAAAGCUAAGCACUUCUCCCAUGGCAAGAAAGAUCAAUCUAGUAGGCCAAACCAAACUGAUAAUUUGAAGAGACUUGCAAAGAUAACUCAAUCAUACAUAAAAGAAUUUAGAGGAGAUUCAAAUAUUUCUCAUAGAUAAACUUGAUCAUAAACCCACAAUUCAUCGGAUCUCGACAAACACACCGCAAAAAGAGUUUACAUCGAAUAGAUCUCCAAAAGAGAGGGGGAGAACAUUGUAUUGAGAUCCAAAAAGAGAGAAGAAGCCAUCUAGCUAAUAACUAUGGACCCGAAGGUCUGUGGUAAACUACUCACAACUCAUCGGAGGGGCUAUGGUGUUGAUGUAGAAGCCCUCCGUGGUCGAUUCCCCCUCCGGCGGAGCGUCGACGAAGGCUCCAAGAUGGGAUCUCGCGGAUACAGAAGGUUACGACAGUGGAAAUUGUUUUUGGUUGGCUCCCUGGAUGUUUUCGAGGUACGUGGGUAUAUAUAGGAGGAAGAAGUACGUCGGUGGCCGCCCGAGGGGCCCAGGAGACAGGGGGCACGCCCAGAGGGGGUGGGCGCGCCCUCCUAUCUCCUGGCCGCCUCGAUCGCUUCUUGGCUUGCACUCCAAGUCCUUUGGAUCACGUUCAUUCCAAAAAUCACGCUCCCGAAGGUUUCAUUCCGUUUGGACUCCGUUUGAUAUUCCUUUUCUUCGAAAUACUGAAAUAGGCAAAAAACAGCAAUACGGGCUGGGCCUCCGGUUAGUAGGUUGGUCCCAAAAAUGAUAUAAAUGUGUAAAAUAAAGCCCAUAAACAUCCAAAAGGGGUAAUAUAAUAGCAUGGAACAAUCAAAAAUUAUAGAUACAUUGGAGACAUAUCAAGCAUCCCCAAGCUUAAUUCCUGCUCGUCCUCGAGUAGGUAAAUGAUAAAAACAAAAUUUUUGAUGUGGAAUGCUACCUAGCAUAUUUCACAAUGUAAUUUUCUUUAUUGUGGCAUGAAUGUUCAGAUCCAAAUGAUUCAAAAUAAAAGUUCAUAUUGAUAACAGAAAUAGUAAUACUUCAAGCAUACUAAUCAAAGCAAUCAUGUCUUCUCAAAAUAACAUGGCUAAAGAAAGUUCAUCCCUACAAAAUCAUAUAGUUAGGCUAUGCUUCAUUUUCGUCACACAAAAAUGUUCCGAAAUUCUACACCCCCGAUGACAAGCCAAGCAAUUGUUUCGUACUUAAAUAAUCUCAAACUUUUUCAACCUUCACGCAAUACAUGAGUGUGAGCCAUGGAUAUAGCACUAUGGGUGGAAUAGAAUAUGAUGAUGGGGAUUGUGUGGAGAAGACAAAAAAGGAGAAAGUCUCACAUUGACGAGGAUAAUCAACGGGCUAUGGAGAUGCCCAUCAAUUGAUGUCAACAUGUGGAGUAGGGAUUGCCAUGCAACGGAUGCGCUAGAGCUAUAAAUGAAUGAAAUCUCAACAAAAGAAAAUUAGUGGGUGUGCAUCCAACUCGCUUGCUCACGAAGACCUAGGGCAUUUGAGGAAGCCCAUCGUAGGAAUAUACAAGCCAAGUUCUAUAAUGAAAAAUUCCCACUAGUAUAUGAAAGUGACAACAUAUGAGACUCACUAUAUGAAAAGCAUGGUGCUACUUUGAAGCACAAUAUAUGAGACUCGCAAUAUGAAUGACAUGGUGCUACUUUGAAGCACAAGUGUGGAAAAAGAGAUAGUAACAUUGCCCCCCUUUUUUGGCCUUUCUUUUUUUUUCUUUGGGACAAUGCUCUAAUAAUGAUGAUCAUCACACUUUUAUUGAUUACAACACAUGAAUUACAACUCGAAACUAGAACAAGAUAUGACUCUAUAUGAAUGCCUCCGGCGGUGUACCGGGAUGGUGCAAUGAAUCAAGAGUGACAUGUAUGAAAAAUUAUGCAUGGUGGCUUUGCCACAAAUACGAUGUCAACUACAUGAUCAUCUAAUGGCAAUAUGACAAAAGCAAUGUAUGUCAUGAUGAUGAACGGAACGGUGGAAAGUUGCAUGGCAAUAUAUCUCGGAAUGGCUAUGGAAAUGCCAUAAUAGGUAGGUAUGGUGGCUGUUUUGAGGAAGAUAUAAGGAGGUUUAUGUGUGAUAGAGCGUAUCGUAUCACGGGGUUUGGAUGCACCGGCGAAGUUUGCACCAACUCUCAAGGUGAGAAAGGGCAAUGCACGGUACCGAAGAGGCUAGCAAUGAUGGAAAGGUAAAAGUGCGUAUAAUCCAUGGACUCAACAUUAGUCAAAAGAACUCAUAUACUUAUUGCAAAAAUUUAGAAGUCAUCAAAAACCAAGCACUACGCGCAUGCUCCUAGAGGGAUAGAUUGUUAGGAAAAGACCAUCGCUCGUCCCCGACCGCCACUCAUAACGAUGCACAAUCCAAGUACACUUCAUGUUUCAAAUUUGUUACACAACUUUAACCAUACGUGCAUGCUACAGGACUUGCUAACUUCAACACAAGCAUUCUUUAAAUUCAUAAUCACCCAACUAGCAUGACUUUAAUAUCACUACCUCCAUAUCUCAAAACAAUUAUCAAGUAUCAAAUUGAUCAUAGCAUCCAAUUCACUUCCUAUGAUAGUUUUUAUUAUACCCAACUUGGAUGCCUACCAUUCUAGGACUAAUUUUAUAACCAUAGAAAAUACCAUAUUGUUCUAAAAGACUCUCAAAAUAAUAUAAGUGAAGCGUGAGAGACUAGCAAUUUCUACAAAAUUAAGCCAUCGCCGUGCUCUAAAAGAUAUAAGUGAAGCACUAGAGCAAAAACUAUCUAGCUCAAAAGAUAUAAGUGAAGCACAUAGCAUAUUCUAAUAAAUUCUAAUCAAGUAGGCUUCUCCCAAAAGGUGUGUACAGCAAGGAUGAUUGUGGAAAACUAAAAAGCAAAUACUAAUAUCAUACACGGCGCUCCAAGCAAAACACAUAUCAUGUGGCAAAUAAAAAUAUAGCUCCAAGUAAAGUUACCAAUGAACAAAGACGAAAGAGGGGAUGCCUUCCUGGGGCAUCCCCAAGCUUAGGCUUUUGGCUAAUCUUGAAUAUCUUGGGGUGCCAUGGGCAUACCCAAGCUUAGGAUUUUGCCACUCCUUAUUCCAUAGUCCAUCAAAUCUUUACCCAAAACUUGAAAACUUCACAACACAAAACUCAACAGGAAAUCUCAUAAGCUCCGUUAGUGAAAGAAAAGAAAACCACCACACAAGGUACUUUAAUAAAAUAAUUCUUUAUUUAUAAUGGUGUUAAACCUACUGUAUUCCAACUUCUCUAUGGUUUAUAAACUAUUUUACUAUCCAUAGAUGCAUCAAAAUAAGCAAACAACACACGAAAGGCGGAAUCUAUCAAAAACAGAACAGUCUGUAGCAAUCUAUAACUAACGCAAACUUCUGGAACUAAAAAAAUCCUAAAAAAUAGGAAGUCCUGGAAAAUUAGUCUAUUGAUCAGCACAAAAAAUAAUCAACGCAAAAUCACGUUUCUGUGAUUUAUAAAAACUAAUUUCGUACGCGCAAAGUUUCUGUUUUUCAGCAGAAUCAAAUCAACUAUCACCAUAGGUUAUCCUAUAGGUUCUACUUGGCACAAACACUAAUUAAAACAUAAAAACACAUCUGAAUAGAAGGUAGAUGCAAAAUUUAUUACUAAACAAAAACAAAAACAAAUAACACAAAAUAAAAUUGGGUUGCCUCCCAACUAGCGCUAUCGUUUAACGCCCCUAGCUAGGCAUAAAAGCGAGGAUAGAUCUAAGUAGUGCCAUCUUUGGCACUCAAUUCAUAAGUAGCUCGCAUGAUAGAUUCAUAAGGUAAUUUGACUUUCUUUCUUGGAAAGUGCUCCAUGCCUUUCCUUAAUGGAAAUUGGAAUCUAAUAUUCCCUUCCUUCAUAUCAAUAAUCGUUCCAAUCGUUCUAAGGAAAGGUCUACCAAGAAUAAUAGGGCAAGAAAGAUUGUAAUCUAUAUCAAGAACGAUAAAAUCUACGGGCACCAAAUUUCUAUUUGCAACAAUGAGAACAUCAUUGAUCCUUCCCAUUGGCUUUUUAAUGGUGGAAUCCGCAAGGUGAAAAUUUUAAAGAUCAAUCAUCAAGAUCAUGGAAACCUAGAAUAUCACAUAAAGUUUUCAGAAUCGUGGAAACACUAGCACCCAAAUCACACAAAGCAAAACACUCAUGAUCUUUAAUUUUAAUCUUUAUAGUAGGUUCCCACUCAUCAUUAGGUUUUCUAGGUAUAGAAACUUCCAAAUUAAGUUUUUCAUCAUAAGAUUGCAUCAAGGCAUCAACAAUGUGUUUGGUAAAAGCUUUAUUUUGACUAUAAGCAUGAGGAGAAUUAACAACAGAUUGCAACAAGGAAAUACAAUCUUCUAAAGCACAAUUAUCAUAAUCAAAUUCCUUGAAAUCCGAGAUAGUGGGUUCAGUACUAUUUAAAGUCAUGACCUCUCCAAUCCCACUUUUACCAAAUUUAGCAUCAAGAUCUGAAAACUCCGAAUUAUUGGGAUGCCUUCUAACUAAAGUUGACUCAUCUCCAGUCCCAUUAUUAUUAAGAUUCAUAUUGCAAAACAAAGAUCUAACAGGAGACACAUCAAUAACUUUAAGAUCUUCAUCAUUAUUUUCAUCUAACUUUUCUGGUUUGGCAGCCAUCUUAUUAACUAAGGUAGCUUGCUUAUCAGAAAUUUGGAUUAUAGCAUUUUCAAGCCAGGUAAUUUGAGAGUUCACACCAUAAGAUUCUUUAGACAUAUCAUCAAGCUCUUUGUUCAUAAACCCCAAAAAACCUUUUUGUUCCUUAAGCUCUUUUCUGAAGAAAUUAUUAUGCUCAAAUUGCAAAGUCAUAAAACUUCUAAUGUUUGAUUCAAUCUCUUCCAACCUUCUAAGAAGGAGGUCGGUACUCUUAGGCAAAGCCAUAAGGAUAAACAAGCACACAAAAAGACAAGCGAGAGAGAGAGAGAAGAAGAUUGGUAAAGAGAGGGUGAAUAAAACGGCAAGGGUGAAGUGGGGGAGAGGAAAACGAAAGGCAAAUGGCAAAUAAUGUAAAUGCGAGGGAGAUGAGUUUGUGAUGGGUACUUGGUAUGUCUUGACUUGAGUGAAGACCUCCCCGGCAAUGGCGCCAGAAAUCCUUCUUGCUACGUCUUGAGCUUGCGUUGGUUUUCCUUGAAGAGGAAUGGGUGAUGCAGCAAAGUAGCGUAAGUAUUUCCCUCAAUUUUUGAGAACCAAGGUAUCAAUCCAGUAGGAGGCUCCUCAGAAGUCCCACGCACCUACACAAACAAACAAAGAACUCGCAACCAACGCAAUAAAGGGGUUGUCAAUCCCUUCACGGCCACUUGCGAAAGUGAGAUCUGAUAGAGAUAGUAUGAUAAGAUAAAUAUAUUUUUGGUAUUUUAUAAUAUAGAUGCAAAAAGUAAAGAUGCAAAUAAAAGUAGAUUAAAAGCUUAUAUGAUAAAAGAUAGACCCGGGGGCCAUAGGUUUCACUAGUGUCUUCUCUCAAGAUAGCAUGAGUAUUACGGUGGGUGAAUAAAUUACUGUCGAGCAAUUGAUAGAAAAAUGAAUAAUUAUGAGAUUAUCUAGGCAUGAUCAUAUAUAUAGCCAUCACGUCCGUGACAAGUAGACCGACUCCUGCCUGCAUCUACUACUAUUACUCCACACAUCGACCGCUAUCCAGCAUGCAUCUAGAGUAUUAAGUUCAUAAGAACAGAGUAACGCAUUAAGAAAGAUGACAUGAUGUAGAGGGAUAAACUCAAGCAUUAUGAUAUAAACCCCAUCUUUUUAUCCUCGAUGGCAACAAUACAAUACGUGCCUUGCAACCCCUGCUGUCACUGGGUAAGGACACCGCAAGAUUGAGCCCAAAGCUAAGCACUUCUCCCAUGGUAAGAAAGAUCAAUCUAGUAGGCCAAACCAAACUGAUAAUUCGAAGAGACUUGCAAAGAUAACUCCAAUCAUACAUAAAAGAAUUCAUAGGAGAUUCAAAUAUUUCUCAUAGAUAAACUUGAUCAUAAACCCACAAUUCAUCGUAUCUCGACAAACACACCGCAAAAAGAGUUUACAUCGGAUAGAUCUCCACAAGAGAGGGGGAGAACAUGGUAUUGAGAUCCAAAAAGAGAGAAGAAGCCAUCUAGCUAAUAACUAUGGACCCGAAGGUCUAUGGUAAACUACUCACAACUCAUCGGAGGGGCCAUGGUGUUGAUGUAGAAGCCCUCCAUGGUCGAUUCCCCCCUCCGGCGGAGCGCCGGCGAAAGCUCCAAGAUGGGAUCUCGUGGAUACAGAAGGUUACGAUGGUGGAAAUUGUUUUUUGUUGGCUCCCUAGAUGUUUUCGGGGUACGUGGGUAUAUAUUGGAGGAAGAAGUACGUCGGUGGCCGCCCGAGGGGCCCAGGAGACAGGGGGCGCGCCCAGAGGGGGUGGGCGCACCCUCCUAUCUCCUGGCCGCCUCGAUCGCUUCUUGGCUUGCACUCCAAGUCCUCUGGAUCACGUUCGUUCCAAAAAUCAUGCUCCCGAAUGUUUCAUUCCGUUUGGACUCCAUUUGGUAUUCCUUUUCUUCGAAAUACUGAAAUAGGCAAAAAACGGCAAUACGGGCUGGGCCUCCGGUUAGUAGGUUAGUUCCAAAAAUGAUAUAAAUGUGUAAAAUAAAGCCCAUAAACAUCCAAAAGGGGUAAUAUAAUAGCAUGGAACAAUCAAAAAUUAUAGAUAGGUUGGAGACGUAUCACUCUCCAGGAGCAUUCGCAGAUCUUCCGCGCAGCAUAUCUGAUGCCGCAGAGUUCUACCAAGCUGAAGAAGGAAGCUCGACAGAGAAGUUGUUCUAGUCUCAGUAUAUUGGGACCGAACAUCCAAUGCCCUUGAUUGACCAGCUGAAGCAACUGGUCGAACUGCACAAAGCGGCCGAACUGGCCAUGAAGAACCUCAUAGUCUGGCUGUGGCCUGCCGAGCCCCUGCCCAGUAGCUACUUCGGCCUAGUAAAGCGGCUUGUGAGUGCCUGUCCGUGGCUUGAAGUUAUAAAGCGGUCGGUUUGCAUUGAAGGUGCGCGAAUAGCCUUCGCCCGCGCAAAAGUGCAUUGGGCGAAGAUGGAUGCCGAGAAGCUGAUGACCGAAGGACCGCCGAAGGGCAAGGAGCAUCACCACCCCGAGAAGUAUUAUGAUAGUGUCCUGAAGGGCUCUCGCCUUGUGGCGGAGCAGUGUGCGAAGGAUGUAAUCUUCGAGUGAAUACACUCAUUUUAUCCUGUAAUAUGAAACAAGUUCUUUUGCGCCAUAUAACGCUUGCUGAUUUAAAAUUUUACCUUCCAUGCGGCCGUUUAUAAAAUCUAAGAGUUGGCCAGUCGUCGGCUUCUACCCCCAUGUAAUUAGUACCGGGGUGUUCAGGAUAAAUCUAAAUACUCUUUAUCCAAAUUUUUGGUCCUUUAAGGAGGUGUUUAGCGCAACAAACAAGGCAAUCAGACUAUACAACUUUAUCACUCUCACUUAGCCAUAGAAGUUCUAUAAUUUUAAAUUUUGGAAUAGCCCGUGGUAUUCGAAAUACUAAACUUGGGGCGCUAUACACGCCUAAAUCGGACAAAGGCCGAUUCCUCCCCCAAAGCGGAAAAAAUCUUUAAGGAUUUGAGACCUCUCGAACAGCGACCAGCUCUCGCGGCAUCAUGACAGUCAGUUUUUGGCUUUCUCUACUGAGGCGCUCAUCCGGAAGAACCGGGACACAAUCGUAGUAGUUCUCCCUGUGCCACCUUAGCCGAUAUAGCAGAACGUAAGACAUCAAAACAUGGGAGCCGGGCAAACCCAACUAUUGACCCAAGACAUGAUUCAGAGCUGAUGCAUAUAAUGCUAUAAGUUCGGGGUGCCGCAAUGUCGAAAGUGUUCGGACUUUUCUUGCCGUGUUAUGGGGUAACUGAAGCCCCUGGCGAGCUGAACGUACCCAAAUGUACGGGUGCAAUUUGUAAUGAAUAAACAGUCAAGGAAAAAGAUAGAGAAAUGUAAUAAUAAGCUGACGUUGUACAUUAUUUUCGAUUGUUUAUUUGAAUAAUACGUCAAGACGUAUGUAUACAAGUGGUGCGAUAAGCAAAAUAGGACUAUUUGACAUGUCCUAACCUAAGAGCGAGUUGCGUGUGGGUAUGUAAAACAGGUAUAACGAUCGUUAUCAGAGACCACUCGGGGAUUCCCUUGUACGUUAAAGCUCCUUGCCUCCUUGGUGUUUCCGUCCCGUGACGGGUCCGAUAAUCAGGCUUUCGAAAGAGCCUACGGGAAAUAGGGACCUAAAAGAAAGAAAAAAAGGGUGAAGGUAUAUGGAUCCUGGGGCGGCUAAGCCGCAUUGAGGACCGGAUUCUAGUUGUGCCUCCGUCUAUGCCCAUGGUAUUUUAAGUGCGUAGUUAUGUGCGUGCGGCACAAAUUUCACCGCUUGACUGGGAAUAGGACGGAGGCCGAAUUGCUAGGUGAGCUCUGGACGUGCCGGACGAUCCUAUUGCAGAGUACCUCGAACUCGCUUGGUGGUGUCCGGGGUUUUUAGUGCCGCAUUGGAGGUCUGCCUAAGAAGGCUGCUUUGUACUUCUACUACGAGGGCCGCAGUGUCCUCCUCCGUGCAGAGGGAGCGCUCUGUGUUUCCAUUGACUGUUAUAACCCCGCGAGGUCCUGGCAUUUUGAGCUUAAGGUAUGCAUAAUGCGGUACCGCAUUGAAUCUGGCAAAUACGGUUUGUCCGAGCAGUGCGUGAUAGCCACUGCAGAAGGGGACAAUAUCGAAGAUUAACUCCUCGCUUCGGAAGUUGUCCGGAUAUCUGAAGACUACUCCCAAUGUGAUUGAGCCCGUGCAACAGGCCUCUACACCUGGUAUGACACCUUUAAAGGUGGUUUUGGUGGGUUUGAUCCUUGAGGGAUCGAUGCCCAUUUUGCGCAUUGUAUCCUGAUAGAGCAGGUUCAGGCUGGUGCCACCAUCCAUAAGGACUCGUGUAGGGUGGAAUCCGUCAAUGAUGGGGUCGGGGACCAAUGCGGCCGAGCCGCCAUGACGGAUACUGGUCGGAUUGUUCCUGCGAUCGAAGGUGAUCGGACAAGAAGACCAUGCAUUGAACUUUGGAGCGACUGGCUCCAUCGCAUAGACGUCCCUUAGUGCAUGCUUCUGUUCCCGCUUGGGAAUAUGGGUUGCGUAAAUCAUAUUUACCGUUUUUACUUGGGGAGGAAAUUUCUUCUGUCCUCCUGUGUUCGGCAGCCGGGGUUCCUUGUCGUCAUCACUAUGCGGCCCCCUUUCCUUGUUUUCAGCAUUCAACUUGCCGGCCUGUUUGAACACCCAACAUUCUCUGUUGGUGUGGUUGGCUGGUUUAUCGGGGGUGCCGUGAAUUUGACAUGAGCGGUCGAGUAUGCGGUCCAGACUAGACGGGCCCGGAUUGUUUCUUUUGAAUGGCUUUUUCCGCUGACUGGACUUAGAGCCACUGAAUCCGGCAUUGACGGCCGUGUCUUCGGCGUUAUCGCCAUUGUUGCGACGCUUAUGUCUGUUGCAUUGGGGCUUGCCAUUAUUAUCUCUGGCAUUUGAGGUGCCAGGAUUUCUUGAUGUGCUGUUGCUGCGAGCCAGCCAGCUAUCCUCGCCUGCACAAAAGCGGGUCAUGAGUGUCGUGAGGGCUGCCAUGGACUUCGACUUCUCUUGGACGAGGUGUCGGGCAAGCCACUCGUCAUGGAUGUUAUGCUUAAAGGCCGCUAGGGCUUUGGCAUCCGGACAGUCGACAAUUUGGUUCUUUUUAGUUAGGAACCGAGUCCAGAAUUUCCUGGCUGACUCUCCGGGCUGUUGGGUUAUGUGACUUAAAUCAUCAGCAUCCGGUGGUCGCACAUAAGUGCCCUGGAAGUUAUCCAGGAAAGCGUCUUCCAGGUUCUCCCAACUUCCAAUGGAGUUUGCCGGCAAACUAUUCAGCCAAUGCCGAGCCGGUCCCUUGAGUUUUAGUGGGAGGUACUUGAUGGCAUGUAGAUCGUCGCCGCGGGCCAUGUGAAUGUGGAGAAGGAAAUCUUCUAGCCAUACCGCGGGGUCUGUAGUCCCAUCGUAGGGCUCGAUAUUCACGGGCUUAAACCCUUCUGGGAAUUCAUGCUCCAUUACUUCGUCAGUGAAGCAUAGGGGGUGUGCGGCUCCUCUAUGUCGGGCUACAUCACGACACAGUUCAAAUGAGUCUGGUCUGUUGUAUUCGGCCCGGCCAGAUUUGCAUUUAGUAUAUCCGGCGUGGCGGUCAUCAUCACGCGUUGGGGCGCGCCCCCGUGAUCCGUAGAUCGAUCUUGACUGUCAUGCUUUGUUUUCGAAUUCGUCUCGCAGGUCAUGCGUGUAGCCCCGGGCCUUCGUGUUUUUGCUUGUUUGGCGACGGGGUGCGGGUUGGUGUUCGGGCUGAUACACCGCUUUGUCUCGGCCACGAGGUGGCCGGUCAGCCGCAUCCUGCGCUGGUAGUGCAUGCUCUGGUGCCUCCUCCUCGAAUUGAGGUAACAACUUGCGCUUUGGGUAACUUUUGGUUGGGCGCUCGAGUCCGUAUUCCUCGGCUGCCAGGACCUCAGUCCAUCUAUCAGUUAGCAGAUCUUGAUCAGCUUGAAGCUGCUGCUGCUUUUUCUUCAGGCUUUUUGCAGUGGCUAUAAGCCGGCGCUUGAAGCGCUCCUGCUCGACGGGAUCCUCAGGCACGAUAAAUUCUUCGUCGCCGAGGCUCACCUCGUCUUUGGAGAGGGGCAUGUAAUUGUCAUCCUAUGAUUCUCCAUCCAUUGCCUGUUCCUCAGGGCUAGCUUGCCCAUCCUCCCAUUCGGCCGGCUCGAAGCUUGGUUGGGCGGGAUUGUUUUCGUCUUCGGCAUUAUCCGGAGUGUUAUUGUCUCUUGUGCCGGCAUCGCUAUCUUUGCUAUGGCGGGGCUUAGAGCGGCGCCGCUGACGACGACGCUUAGAUUGCUUCGCAGGGGGGUUAUCCUCCGUUGCCUCAUCGCCAUUGCUUUCUUUGGGUGUGUCCACCAUAUAUAUAUAUAUCAUAUGAUGAGGUGGCUGUCUAGCGCCCUGUGGGCGGUGGUUCCUGUUCUUCUCCGGCAUCGUUGUCCAUACCGUCGAUGUCUUCGGAGUCGAAAUCAAGCAUGUCGGUUAAGUCGUCGAAAGUGGCUAUUAAGUGGGUGGUGGGUGGGAAACGAAUUUCUUCGUCGUCCGCUUCCCACUCAAGCCGGACAUAGUUCGACAAGGAGUCUCCUGACAGGGAGAGAGAUUUUAAUGAAUUUAGCAUGUCGCCCAAGGGGGAGGGCUGAAAGAUAUCCGCGAAGGUAAACUCCAGGAUCGAUGCCCAAUCAGGUUCGAUAGGCAUGGAUGCGAGCGGUUCAGAGCCUAUGGCCGGAGACGAGUCCGAGGGUCCGAUGACACAGACCUUAUUGGAGGUGAAUUCUGUGAUCGGCUCUACCGCCGAUGAGUGUGCGGCCUCCGCAGCGGGGUCUAUCCACCCGUCCUCGGAUGACACGAUCUGCUCCGAAUCUAAGGCUAGGGCAGUUGCAGGUGCGUUCUCCUGAACACCGUCCGAUGGCAGGUCUAAGCCAUGCUCAUCGUGACCGUACGACUCUCCUGUCAUGGGUUUGAAUCCGUCAAAGAUCAAGUCUCCGCGGAUGUCGGCCAUGUAGUUCAGGCUUCCCAACCUGACCUGAUGGCCAGGGGCGUAGCUAUCGAUCUGCUCCAGAUGGCCAAGAGAGUUGGUCCGCAGGUGAAGCCGCCGAAUACGAAGAUUUGUCCAAGGAGGAAAACCUCACCCUGGACCGCAUCGUUGUGGACGAUUGAAGGAGCCAUCAAGCCUUAUCGUGACGACACAGUGGAACUCUCAAUGAAAGCACCAAUGUCGGUGUCAAAACCGGUGGAUCUCGGGUAGGGGGUCCAGAACUGUGCGUCUAAGGCUAAUGGUAACAUGAGGCGGGGGACACAAUGUUUACCCAGGUUCGGGCCCUCUCUAUGGAUGUAAUACCCUACUUCCUUCUUGAUUGAUCUUGAUGAUAUGAGUAUUACAAGAGUUGAUCUACCACGAGAUCGUAGAGGCUAAACCCUAGAAGCUAGCCUAUAGUUGCGAUAUUGUUGUCAUAUGCAGUAAACCCUCCGGUUUAGUCCCACCCGGACACGGGACAAAGUCUUCAAUCUUGUAUCUUCAUAGUCCAACAGUCCGGCACAAGUACAUAGUCCGGCUGUCCGAGUACCCCCUAAUCCAGGACUCCCUCAGCCAUGAAAUCUGAGAUGGGAUCCAUGUAUGAGAACAAAGUGUGGACUUUGGUUGACUUGCCCGAUGAUCGGCAAGCCAUCGAGAAUAAAUGGAUCUUCAAGAAGAAGACUGACGCUGAUGGUAAUGUUACUAUCUACAAAGCUCGACUUGUUGUGAAAGGUUUUCAACAAGUUCAAGGGGUUGACUACGAUGAGACUUUCUCACCUGUAGCGAUGCUUAAGUCUGUCCGAAUCAUGUUAGCAAUUGCCGCAUUUUAUGAUUAUGAAAUUUGGCAAAUGGAUGUCAAAACUGCAUUCCUGAAUGGAUUUCUGGAAGAAGAGUUGUAUAUGAUGCAACCAGAAGGUUUUAUCGAUCUGAAAGGUGCUAACAAAGUGUGCAAGCUCCAACAAUCCAUUUAUGGACUGGUGCAAGCCUCUCGGAGUUGGAUUAAACGCUUUGAUAGUGUGAUCAAAGCAUAUGGUUUUAUACAGACUUUUGGAGAAGCCUGUAUUAACAAGAAAGUUAGUGGGAGCUCUGUAGCAUUUCUGAUAUUAUAUGUGGAUGACAUAUUGUUGAUUGGAAAUGAUAUAGAAUUUCUGGAUAGCAUAAAAGGAUACUUGAAUAAAAGUUUUUCAAUGAAAGACCUCGGUGAAGCUGCUUAUAUAUUGGGCAUCAAGAUCUGUAGAUAGAUCAAGAUGGUUAAUUGGACUUUCACAAAGUACAUACCUUGAUAAAGUUUUGAAAAAAUUCAAAAUGGAUCAAGCAAAGAAAGGGUUCUUGCCUGUAAUACAAGGUGUGAAGUUGAGUCAGACUCAAUGCCCGACCACUGCAGAAGAUAGAGAGAAAAUGAAAGAUGUUCCCUAUGCUUCAGCCAUAGGCUCUUUCAUGUAUGCAAUGCUGUGUACCCAGACCUGAUGUGUGCCUUGCUAUUAGUUUAGAAGGGAGGUACCAAAGUAAUCCAGGAGUGGAUCACUGGACAGCGGGAAAGAACAUCCCGAAGUACCUAAAAAGGACUAAGGAUAUGUUUCUCGUUUAUGGAGGUGACAAAGAGCUAGUCGUAAAUGGUUACGUCGAUGCAAGCUUUGACACUGAUCUGAACGAUUCUAAAUCACAAACCGGAUACGUGUUUAUAUUGAACGGUGGAGCUGUCAGUUGGUGUAGUUCUAAACAAAGCGUCGUGGCGGGAUCUACGUGUGAAGCGGAGUACAUAGCUGCUUCAGAAGCAGCAAAUGAAGGAGUCUGGAUGAAGGAGUUCAUAUCCGAUCUAGGUGUCAUACCUAGUGCAUCAGGUCUAAUGAAAAUCUUUUGUGACAAUACUGGUGCAAUUGCCUUGGCAAAGGAAUCCAGAUUUCACAAGAGAACCAAGCACAUCAAGAGACGCUUUAAUUCCAUCCGGGACCAAGUCCAGGUGGGACACAUAGAGAUUUGGAAGAUACAUACGGAUCUGAAUGUUGCAGACCCGUUGACUAAGCCUCUUCCACGAGCAAAACAUGGUCGACACCAAGACUCCAUGGGUGUUAGAAUCAUUACUGUGUAAUCUAGAUUAUUGACUCUAGUGCAAGUGGGAGACUGAAGGAAAUAUGCCCUAGAGGCAAUAAUAAAGUUAUUAUUUAUUUUCUCAUAUCAUGAUAAAUGUUUAUUAUUCAUGCUAGAAUUGUAUUAACCGGAAACAUAAUACAUGUGUGAAUAUAUAGACAAACAUAGUGUCACUAGUAUGCUUCUACUUGACUAGCUCAUUGAUCAAAGGUGGUUGAGUUUCCUAACCAUAGAUAUGAGUUAUCAUUUGAUCAAUGGGAUCACAUCAUUAGAAGAAUGAUGUGAUUAACUUGACCCAUUCCGUUAGCUUAGCACUUGAUCGUUUAGUAUGUUGCUAUUGCUUUCUUCAUGACUUAUGCAUGUUCCUUUGACUAUGAGAUUAUGUAACUCCCGCUUACCGGAGGAACACUUUGUGUGCUACCAAAUGUCACAACGUAACUGGGUGAUUAUAAAGGUGCUCUACAGGUGUCUCCGAAGGUACUUGUUGAGUUUACAUAUUUCGAGAUUAGGGUUUGUCACUCCGAUUGUCGGAGAGGUAUCUCUGGGCCCUCUCGGUAAUGCACAUCACUAUAAGCCUUGCAAGCAAUGUAGCUAAUGUGUUAGUUGCGGGAUGAUGCAUUACAUAAUGAGUAAAGAGACUUGCCGGUAACGAGAUUGAACUAGGUAUUGAGAUACCGACGAUCGAAUCUCAGGCAAGUAACAUACCGAUGACAAAGGGAACAACGUAUGUAGUUAUGCGGUUCGACUGGUAAAGAUCUUCGUAGAAUAUGUGGGAACCAAUAUGAGCAUCCAGGUUCCGCUAUUGGUUAUUGACCGGAGACGUGUCUCGGUCAUGUCUACAUAGUUGUCGAACCCUUAGGGUCCGCACGCUUAAAGUUUGGUGACGAUCGGUAUAUUGAGUUUUUGUGUUUUGAUGUACCGAAGGUAGUUCGGAGUCCCGGAUAUGAUCACGGACAUGACGAGGAGUCUCGAAAUGGUCGAGACGUAAAGAUUGAUAUAUUGGAUGACUAUGUACGGACACCGGAAGUGUUUCGGGAGGUUUCAGUCAUUUACCGGAGUACGGGGGGUUACUGGAACCCCCCGGGUAGUAUAUUGGGCCUAAUGGGCCUUGGUGGGAGAAGAGGAGGGGCGGCCAGGGCAGCCGCACGCCCCUCCCCCUCUAGUCCGAAUUGGACAAGGAGGGGGGGGCGUCCCCCUUCUUUCCUUCUCCUCCUCUCUCCCUUCCUUCCCUUCUCCUACUCCAACAAGGAAAGGUGGAGUCGGGAGUAGGACUCCCCCCAUGGCACACCCUCCUCCUAUCCGGCUGCCUCCCCCCUUGCUCCUUUAUAUACGGGGGCAGGGGGCACCUCUAGACAGGCAAGUUGAUCUGUUGAUCUCUCCCAGCCGUUUGCGGUGUCCCCCUCCACCAUAUUCCACCUUGGUAAUAUUGUAGCUGUGCUUAGGCGAAGCCUUGCGUCAGUAGCAUCAUCAACACCGUCAUCACGCUGUCAUGCUGACGGAACUCUCCCGCAAAGCUCUGCUGGAUCGGAGUUCGUGGGACGUCAUCGAGCUGAACGUGUGCUGAACUCGGAGGUGCCGUACGUUCGGUACUUGGAUCGGUCGGGUCGUGAAGACGUACGACUAUAUCAACCGCGUUGUGCUAACUCUUCCGCUUACAGUCUACGAGGGUACGUGGACGACACUCUCCCCUCUCGUUGCUAUGCAUCACCAUGAUCUUGCGUGUGCGUAGGAAAAUUUUGAAAUUACUAUGUUCCCCAACAUAUUUCACGUCAAUGCGGACCAGGGCCCUUCUCCUCGCUUUGUUGCCAUCAGUGGGAGGCUGCAGCCAGUGUCAUGUGGGAGGUUGUUGUCAAUGUUGGCCAACCAACAUGUAUUGCUUCCAGAAUUGGGUACAAUAUAUUUCAAUAAUAUUUAAUUGUAUAAAACAUGAAUAUUUGGAUUAACAAUAUGAGAACUGAAACUAAGAAUACAUAUGAUUUAUUGUAUUUGAUUACCGUGUCGUUAUAAAAUAAUUAUUGAAUAUAAGUGGUAUAAUCAUUUUUAAUACGCACAAUUGCAUGUUAAGUGAGCUUUUCCCCUAUGCAUGGUUGUACAUUGAUGUAGUAUGUUUGCAUGUUGAGAAAUAUCUUAGUAAUAAUAAUCUAUUAACUUAUAUACAUGAUAUGUCAUUUUUCCUUUGCCCAUUUCUUUCCCUUCCGUGCCUCUACCGUACCUUUAGCCCAUUAUGUUGAGUGGUCCUUCUAGUGCUCAUACCACAAGUCCCGUCAAUUUAUAACUCUUGGCCGAACUUUCCUUUUUGGUUACUUUGAGAAGUUAUAGUGCCAAAUUUUGAGAAUUCUAAGGCAAAAUUUUAGAACUUUGAACUUUCAGAAAAUUUGAAACUUUCAAAAGCUCUCAAUUCAAAUUUUAAUAAAAUUUAGAACUUUUCGAAUUCAAAACUUUCAUAGCAUUCAAGGAAAUGUCUAAACUUCCUAAAAAAACAUCUUUCACAAAUUUCCAAACUACAUUUUUUUGGAAUUUCCGUUAAAGAAAAACAUAGUGAAAAUGUUUCACAUGUGCAANNNNNNNNNNNNNNNNNNNNNNNNNNNNNNNNNNNNNNNNNNNNNNNNNNNNNNNNNNNNNNNNNNNNNNNNNNNNNNNNNNNNNNNNNNNNNNNNNNNNNNNNNNNNNNNNNNNNNNNNNNNNNNNNNNNNNNNNNNNNNNNNNNNNNNNNNNNNNNNNNNNNNNNNNNNNNNNNNNNNNNNNNNNNNNNNNNNNNNNNNNNNNNNNNNNNNNNNNNNNNNNNNNNNNNNNNNNNNNNNNNNNNNNNNNNNNNNNNNNNNNNNNNAUGCUGUAUGUCCGCUACACGCAUGAGCUCACCCUUAGUGUGUGUUGUCCAAAUUAGAUAUUGGUUUACUGUCUAUCUGCAUAUCAAAAGACUGGCAUAUAAUAUUUUCUUUCAAGCUUUUCAGUUGUUUUUUCUUAUUUUUGGAUAGUCGUUUAAUAUAAUGUUGCACCUUAACUAUAUGUAAGUCGCCUUAAUUUUAUGUUUGGGUCAGUCGAUUACUUGCCCAUUAAUUCUAGCUCUCAAAAUCGUGCUGUUUUUGGACUACUUUGUGAGCUGGUUGCUACUUUUUUUACUGACCGCAUAUUUGGUCAGUCGAUUUGCUACUGGGCUGAAGCCCAUUACCUGUACUGCCCAGCUCAUCCCUCUUUCCCUUUAUUAUUUCUUCUGUCUUUCCUAUUUUUAUGUGUUUUCCCUUUUUUGUUUGCUUUUAUUUAUUAGUUUGUCUAUUUUAUUUUAUUUCGUAGGUAUUUUGGGAUGUUGGGUGAGUGUAAAUGUACACACACACAAUUACUAUGUAAUAUGUGCAAUACACUAUUAUAGUGCAAAGUCAUGUGCACAUUUUUUUAACUUUUCAUUAUCUUUAUUCAUAAAGAUUAAUACCAAUGGCAGUAAUUAAUUAUUCCUUAUAAAACUUCAUUAAUUUGAUAUAGUUAUUAUUCAUUUUAUUCCUUCUUUUGGGAUAAUACCAAUGCCACUAAUUCAUUCAUGCUUAGUAACCUUUUUUGCGAAAAUUUCACAAUUAUAUGCUUAUUCUUGCAUAUUUUUAAAAGCAAAAUUUUUGUUUAUAUUGUGUGCAAUUUUGUCAAAACCUUUGUUUUACUUUUAUUUUUCAUUUUCCUUCUUCUUAAAGCAUAAUAGCAAUGUCACCAAUUCAUUAUUCGUUCGAAAACCUCAUUAUUUGAUUUUGUUUUUAUUUUAUUUUAUUUUCUUUCUUCUUGAAGGGUAAUACAAAUGCCAAUAAUUCAAUUUUCCAUAUAAAACUUCAUUGUUUUGUUUUUGUUUAUUUUUUAAUUUUAUUUGUUAUUAAAGGGUAAUAAUGAUGCCACUAACUCAUUGUUAACUAAAAAAUUCAGUUUGUUGGUUUUCUUGUAGGUUUUUUUUAGUAUUAGUAUAGGGGGGAGGGUAGAGAAAGAAGAAGGUGCCUCAGCCUUUGAUUCUUGAUCGGUUGGUGGGGAGUGCUGGAGAAUAUUUAACUGAACACCAAAAAAAAAA
This 59494-nucleotide long non-coding RNA is filed under the name Triticum aestivum (bread wheat). RNAcentral describes it as "long non-coding RNA (TAES_LNC022960)". Lineage: Eukaryota; Viridiplantae; Streptophyta; Magnoliopsida; Poales; Poaceae. The record is from RNAcentral.